This 77944-nucleotide long non-coding RNA is filed under the name Physcomitrium patens. RNAcentral describes it as "long non-coding RNA (PPAT_LNC004262)". Lineage: Eukaryota; Viridiplantae; Streptophyta; Bryopsida; Funariales; Funariaceae. The record is from RNAcentral.
AACCAAGAAAGACCAAGGAUAACAGGGCUUGAUGGGGUUCUAAUAAUAUUAAAAAUAACGUGACUACUAUGGUCCUUAAACACCACUUCUAUAGGUUCUGAUUCGUGGAUAACGUUGCCUGACAAUAAGGGUCGUCCAUCUAUCACCUCUACGUGAACAGGUUUGGACUUCUGUACUAAACGGAUCUUGUGGCAUUUAGCAAACUCUUCAUCUAAAAAACAAGUAGAUGCCCCCGAAUCCAAUAAAGCUAAAGUUUUUUUGUUUUUGAGGGCCUAAAAACAAAGGAAUUGUAAAACAAUGGGCAGGUUGGACAGAGAAGGAGGAACCUGAUUGUUGUCGUGAUAUUAGAUUGUCCAGCCGCACGGUUCCUACUGUGGCUGGGCGUCGUCGUUUUCCAGAAUCAUCGCACUUCUAGUCUUGACAGGGUGCCAAUUUUGCUUCUUUGGGCAAUUUCCAACCUUGUGACCUUCUUCUCCACAGUACAAACAUAACCCUUCCUCCAUACGCCGUUUCUUCUCUGUUGGAGUAAGAGAUCGGACACGCGCCAUGUCGAUUUGCAUGUCUGUUGCCUCCGAAUGUGAGUUUAAGCUAUUUGCAGACAUAGCCACGUCGUAACGAGUCAUUUGGUGUCUUGGACGUUGGUCUUGGCGACGCUGGAAUAGGCGGUUGUCACACUUUACAGCUUGGCUAAUAGCUUCGUUGAGCGUUUGAGGAUCAGGAAGAGAUAACAGCAAGUCCUUCACAUCAUCCUUCAAGCCCCAAUAAAACUGACUCACCAACGCCUCUUCACCCCAAUUAAUGUCACUUGCCAAUUGUCUGAAAUCCGAGGCAUAGACUGAUGCAGAGCGUGUUCCUUGUCGUAGCGAUCGGAUCUUUGUUGUAGCCCAUCGAACUUUAUCAUGCUCGCCAAAUGCUUCUGCAAACGCCUCCAAGAAUGUUUUAAAGUUGCUCAGGAUUGGCGAUCGCUUCUCGAACAAGGGAGUAAACCAAGACAGAGCUUGUGCUGUAAGCAAGGUUCCAACAAGCCCAACAUGCGCUUCCUCCGUCGAAUAACGUUCGGGCUGUAAAAUUGUUAUCAACCUGAUUUGGUUGAUAAAACCUCGAAACUUGGAACGAGUUCCAUCAAACUUAUCCGGAAGACUAACUCGAGCCUCCUUUCGUUGUAGGACUACUCGAUCUUGUUGAAAUGGAGGUAGAACUGCUUCUUCUGGUGUAGAAGUUUGAGGCUGAUAUGCUUUAGAUGGCGCUAUCCCAGAUGCUCCAUUGUUAUGGAGUCCUACCAUGACUCCUUCGAUCUCUGUUGUCCUAUGUGACAACGAGGCAAGAGCAUUUAUGAUGGCGUCUAGUUUGGAUUCCAAACUUUCAGCCAUUUUAACGUCUUAACCUUCGGCUAACCUUCAGAAAGAAGAAAAAAGAGUUUUGACAAGAGGACAAUAUUGAUUCAGAGGAGAGUACUCCGCAACCUCUAAAACGCCUUAAGACUCCAAGAUGAGGGGUAAUUCACUCUCUCCAAGAAAAAUAAGGCUCCAAUAUUGAGAAAGAAGAGAUAUCAGUUUAGAGGACGGUAAUCCGCAACCUCUAAAACACUAGCACACCUUCAAGAAGAGGGGUAAUCCACUCUCUAACAAGAAGGAAAUAGCUCUGAUACCAGUGAAAAUGCAGUCUCGACAAACUGUCACGGACACCAAAAUACAGACUUGAAAUCUAACAAGAAGUUCAAGAAGAAGUGGCAGAACUAGAUUAAACAGAUGAGUACAAGAAUAACACCAGAAAAGUGAGCUAGAACUCCAAGAGAUGUGUUGUCGAGACUGAAGAAUCCUUCAACCUCGACUCCUAUAUAUACUACUGAAUAGGAAGCUUCUCGAGCUACUUCCGCUAACUAGGACGCUUCUCUAACAACUUCUACUAAUUAGGAAACUUCUCGAGCAACUUCCUAGAAUCUAUCAAAAUAUUCUAGAACCUUCUAAGAGAAUCUUUAGAGAAUAUUCUAAGAAUUUUCUAGAACCUUCUAAAGGAAUCUUUAGAGAAUCUUUAGAGAAUAUUCUAGAAGAAUAUUUAAAGAAUCUUCCAAUGUAUGUCCAUGACAGAGGCCCGUAGUAAGACGUAGAUGUUCCCGUAAUUGGAUCAAAUUGGUCCUCGCGUCAGAUUGGCUAAGAGGUCCAUAGUAAGACCUAGAUGUUUCCGUAACUGGACCGCAUUGGGUUGCCCGACCAAGUCAGGUCUCAUAUUGGGUAAGACUUGGAUUGGAUGUCUUGAAAUUGGAUCCAAUUGGCUCUUCGAACCAGGCUCACCCGUCAUGGAAUUGGUCCUUUCCCUUUUUGCUGACUCCCAUUAUUGGAAUCGAACGGAGCAUUUCAGUAAGCCACGGCUGACUGUAACGGAGUGACUCAACCUAGCCUCUCAGUAUUUGUACUGGAAUUGGUCGUUGCUUCCAAUAUUCGAGGUAACUGAACAUUAAUAAAAGUCCUCUUUUUUUAUAUUUUCACAGUAUACUCGUGUUACAACACGACAACGUAUUUAAAGAACACAUAAAUGUGCUUCUUUUUUUCGAAUGUAUAGGCAUCCUUCAAAAUAGAAUGAGUUGUUUUUAAACUUAAACUUGGAAGCACCAUAAGACUUAUAAGAAAGAUUCUUGAUAUUAUGAACAAGAAGAUCAAAGAACAUACUUCAUUAAAUUUCUUUUAUAAGAAUUGAAUCAAUAGUCAAUAUUGAUUUUAUUGCUCAAAGAUAAUAAUGCUCUGGCUUCAAGAGAAUCAAUCUUUAUUGAUAAAAAGAUGUAUUUCUUUUUUUUGAUAUAAGAUAAGAAUAUUUGGAAAUGGCGUUUGACAAACCUUGAUAUUUUUUGAAAUAAUAAGUGAUCUUAAUAUCAAAUCCAGACAAAAAUAUGUUCCAAUCAACUUGGCAAUGAUUCAAAAUAUGUACUAAUAUAAAGUAUUUAAGAUUCUUGUGGUUGAUAUAAAUAGUGAUUGGAUUAGAAGUGUCUUCUAGAUAAUACUGCUAUUCUUGAAAUGAAUCCAUAAUUGUAACAAGUUUUUUGUCAUAAAUCUCAUAGUUGAUUUUGGCUAUUGAAAAUUUUCUUGAAUAAAACUUUAUUAGAUGAAAUUUAUUAUUUGUUUUCUUUUGUGAUAAUAUGGUAUCCAAAAGCAAAGGGUGAUGCAUCUAUUUCUAUAAAAAAUGGCUUAGAAAAGUCGAUGAGAUACAAGAUUAGUGUAGUAAUAAAGGUUAUCUUUAAAGCUUCAAAUGCUACUUUGCUUCUUGAUUCCAUUGAAGUUUGUCUUUACAAGUCAUACAUAUAAGUAGAAUUACAACUUAAAAGAAGUUCUUAAUGAAGAUCCGAUAGCAGUUGGCAAAUCUCAAAAAAUAUUAAACAUCUCUUAUCAUUUUUGAGAUCUUUCAAUCUAUAAUAGUUUGAAUUUUUUUAUGAUCUAUCAUAAAUCCAUCAUUUGAAAUAAUGUAUUCUAAGAAGUCAACUUGAGUAUUAUAGAAUACACACUUUUCUAUCUUGGCAUAGAAUCCUACAUCUCUUAGUUUUUAUGAUACAUGAAAAAUAUGAAGUUUAUAUUUUUUUUAUAUUCUUAAAAUAGAUAAGAUGUCCUCUACAUAACAGAUAAUAAAAUCAUCUAAAAACUCUCAAAAAACAUCAUUUAUUAGAUGUUGGAAAGCUGGUGGUGCAAUCGUAAGUCUAAAAGGCAUGACAUUGUAUCCAAAAUGUCCAUAACUUAUUUAAAAUGCAAUCUUCUAUUCAUCUUCUUUUUUGAUACGUAUUAAAAUAUAUACUUCUUAUAGAUCUAUUUGUAUAUAGAUCUUAGCUUGAUUCAACCAAUCAAGAAAUUCAUAUAUCAAAAGUAGCUUAUACCGAUUCUUGACGGUGAUUUUGUUGAGUCCUCAAUUAUUGACAUACAUCUACAAUGAUCCAUCAUUUUUCUUUAUAAAUAAAAUUGAAGCUCCUAUUAGAAAUUUGAAAUAGAAUAUAAAGUUUUUAGGUACAUUUUCUUUAAUACUGAAACAUGAUUGGAUCCUCUAGGAUCUAAAAUCUUACCAAAUCUAUAACAAUAAGGAUCUCAAUACAACAUGAGAUCAAGUGUACCAAAAUAAAAUUAAAAGUAACUAAAUAAAAUAGAACUUAAAAGACAAGAUUGAGUAAAAAAGUAUAGAAACAAAUAAAAUCUAAUAGAACCAAAAAAAACGAAACAAGAAAAAAAAAAAACUUUACUAAGAAUUUGAAGCCAUAUCAGACUAAAUAUCCAAGUAGCCUCAACAAGUCCUAUUUAUACUUUGUUCAAUUAUCUUAAACUCUACUAAGUUAACUGCCAUUUUAAAAGAUUCUAGAGAUAGGAACAAUAUGUCACGGCCAUAAUCAUGUAAGCUAAUAAUUACAUAUAGAAAUAGAUAGAAGUAAGUAAAAGUAGAUAAAAGUAAGUUAAUUCUAUAAUAUUUAAUAUAAAAGCUUCCUAGAAACUUCCUAGACGCUGCUUUGACUUCAUAGGUGUCUUUAAUUGACUUUUUGGAUUAAAAACGUGGUCAACAAGUUGGCCAUGUGCCACACAUGUUGUUAGCUUGAAGAUCAAGCUAACUAUGUGGUCCACACGUAGAAAAACUUGCCUUGUAAGUCAAGGCAUGUGUCCUACAAAGUCAACACAUAUUGGAGGUCCUAUAGAACGUCACCACGUAGCCCCUAGUUAGAUAGUAUAUAUAGAGACAAGAGUGAAGGCUUCUUCACUCUUGUCAACUCCUUUCUUGCUUCUAGUCUAGUUUCAAGGGUCUCUAGUUUUCUUGUCUUUUGGCAAUAGCCAUUUUAGUUUCUCUUUUCAAUAUACAUACUUAUUAUUCAUAUUUUGUUACUUUUCUUUGAGUGAAGGCUUACUUGUCUGAACUGUUUUUACAUCGAGUUCUUGUCCUUGACAGAUUGACAAGAGUCUACUUACAAUAUCAGAGCUUUGUUUUUCUUGAGUAAGAGUGGAUUACCCCUUUCUCUAGACAAGGCAUUGUCAUGGACAUACAUUGGAAGAUUCUUCGAAUAUUCUUCUAGGAUAUUCUCUAAAGAUUCUAUAAAGAUUCCUUUAGAAGGUUCUAGAAGAUUCUUAGAAUAUUCCCUAAAGAUUCUCUUAGAAGGUUCUAGAAAAUUCUUAGAAUAUUCUCUAAAGAUUCUCUUAGAAGGUUCUAGAAUAUUUUGAUAGAUUCUAGGAAGUUGCUCGAGAAGUUUCCUAAUUAGUAGAAGUUGUUAGAGAAGCGUCCUAGUUAGCGGAAGUAGCUCGAGAAGCUUCCUAUUCAGUAGUAUAUAUAGGAGUCGAGGCUGAAGGGUUCUUCAGUCUCGACAACACAUCUCUUGGAGUUCUAGCUCACCUUUCUGGUGUUGUUCUUGUACUCAUCUGUUUAAUCUAGUUCUGCCACUUCUUCUUGAAUUUCUUGUUAGAUUUCAAGUCUGUAUUUUGUGUCCGUGACAGUUUGUCGAGACUGCAUUUUCACUGGUAUCAGAGCUAUUUCCUUCUUGUUAGAGAGUGGAUUACCCCUCUUCUUGAAGGUGUGCUAGUGUUUUAGAGGUUGCGGAUUACCGUCCUCUAAACUGAUAUCUCUUCUUUCUCAAUAUUGGAGCCUUAUUCUUCUUGGAGAGAGUGGAUUACCCCUCAUCUUGGAGUCUUAGGGCGUUUUAGAGGUUGCGGAGUACUCUCCUCUGAAUCAAUAUUGUCCUCUUGUCAAAACUCUUUUUUCUUCUUUCUGAAGGUUAGCCGAAGGUUAAGACGUUAAAAUGGCUGAAAGUUUGGAAUCCAAACUAGACGCCAUCAUAAAUGCUCUUGCCUCGUUGUCACAUAGGACAACAGAGAUCGAAGGAGUCAUGGUAGGACUCCAUAACAAUGGAGCAUCUGGGAUAGCGCCAUCUAAAGCAUAUCAGCCUCAAACUUCUACACCAGAAGAAGCAGUUCUACCUCCAUUUCAACAAGAUCGAGUAGUCCUACAACGAAAGGAGGCUCGAGUUAGUCUUCCGGAUAAGUUUGAUGGAACUCGUUCCAAGUUUCGAGGUUUUAUCAACCAAAUCAGGUUGAUAACAAUUUUACAGCCCGAACGUUAUUCGACGGAGGAAGCGCAUGUUGGGCUUGUUGGAACCUUGCUUACAGCACAAGCUCUGUCUUGGUUUACUCCCUUGUUCGAGAAGCGAUCGCCAAUCCUGAGCAACUUUAAAACAUUCUUAGAGGCGUUUGCAGAAGCAUUUGGCGAGCAUGAUAAAGUUCGAUGGGCUACAACAAAGAUCCGAUCGCUACGACAAGGAACACGCUCUGCAUCAGUCUAUGCCUCGAAUUUCAGACAAUUGGCAAGUGACAUUAAUUGGGGUGAAGAGGCGUUGGUGAGUCAGUUUUAUUGGGGCUUGAAGGAUGAUGUGAAGGACUUGCUGUUAUCUCUUCCUGAUCCUCAAACGCUCAACGAAGCUAUUAGCCAAGCUGUAAAGUGUGACAAUCGCCUAUUCCAGCGUCGCCAAGACCAACGUCCAAGACACCAAAUGACUCGUUACGACGUGGCUAUGUCUGCAAAUAGCUUAAACUCACAUUCGGAGGCAACAGACAUGCAAAUUGACAUGGCGCGUGUCCGAUCUCUUACUCCAACAGAGAAGAAACGGCGUAUGGAGGAAGGGUUAUGUUUGUACUGUGGAGAAGAAGGUCACAAGGUUGGAAAUUGCCCAAAGAAGCAAAAUUGGCACCCUGUCAAGACUAGAAGUGCGAUGAUUCUGGAAAACGACGACGCCCAGCCACAGUAGGAACCGUGCGGCUGGACAAUCUAAUAUCACGACAACAAUCAGGUUCCUCCUUCUCUGUCCAACCUGCCCAUUGUUUUACAAUUCCUUUGUUUUUAGGCCCUCAAAAACAAAAAAACUUUAGCUUUAUUGGAUUCGGGGGCAUCUACUUGUUUUUUAGAUGAAGAGUUUGCUAAAUGCCACAAGAUCCGUUUAGUACAGAAGUCCAAACCUGUUCACGUAGAGGUGAUAGAUGGACGACCCUUAUUGUCAGGCAACGUUAUCCACGAAUCAGAACCUAUAGAAGUGGUGUUUAAGGACCAUAGUAGUCACGUUAUUUUUAAUAUUAUUAGAACCCCAUCAAGCCCUGUUAUCCUUGGUCUUUCUUGGUUAAAAGAUCAUAAUCCGUCCAUUGAUUGGAGGCUACGAAGGAUAACAUUUCCUGAAAAAAAUAAUAAUAAACAUGUUGGUAGAACCUACAUGAAGAAAUCCAUGUUUAUUGGAGCGAGAGCGUUCCUAAGAUAGUCCAAGGAAGGCGCACCAUUUGUCAUUUAUGCAGCUCCAACUAGCGGCGAGAAUAUCUCAACAUCGAAUAUACCAGAGCAAUAUAGGGAUUUUGAAGACGUGUUUCAGAAGAAAAACGCCGAUAUACUGCCGGAACAUCGACCAUAUGAUUGCGCCAUAGACUUAGAGGAAGGAGCGCAACCACCUUUUGGUCCAAUAUACAACCUAUCGCAGACGGAGUUGGCAGAAUUGCGGAAGUACAUCGAUGAGAAUCUAGCCAAGAAUUUUAUUCGACAUUCAAAGUCGCUAGCUGGAGCACCAAUCCUAUUCGUGAAGAAAAAGGAUGGCUCACUGCGGAUGUGCGUGGACUACCGAGGACUCAACAAGGUGACCAAGAAAAAUCGCUAUCCCUUACUUUUGAUCUCCGGCCUCUUAGAUCAACUUGGACGUGCAAAGAUUUUUACAAAGAUUGAUUUAAGAGGAGCCUACAACCUUGUGCGAAUCAAAGAAGGAGAUGAAUGGAAGACAGCCUUUCGUACAAGGUAUGGCCAUUUUGAGUACAAUGUCAUGCCUUUUGGUCUUACCAAUGCUCCAACGGUCUUUCAGCAUAUGAUGAACGACAUCUUUCGGGAGUACCUCGAUGACUUUGUUGUCAUCUAUCUGGAUGAUAUUUUGAUAUUUUCCAAGAAUGAAGAAGAACAUGAGAAGCACGUUUGUUUGGUUCUUGAAAAACUACGUGAACGAGGACUCUACGCCAAGUUGGAGAAGUGUCAAUUUCACCAGAAUGAGAUGGAAUUUUUGGGCUUCAUUGCGACUACAGAGGGCUUGAAGAUGGAUCCAAAAAAGGUAGAAGCAAUUAUAUCUUGGGAAGUUCCGAAGACAGUUAGAGAUGUUCAGUGUUUUCUUGGAUUUGCUAACUUCUAUCGGAUCUUCAUCAAGAAUUAUUCUCAAGUUGCUGCACCACUCACGCGUCUAACAAGUAAAGACAAGCUCGAAUGGGGAUCACAAGCAGCAAAAGCAUUUCAAGAUCUCAAGACGGCAUUCACUAUGGCUCCAAUCUUGGUACACCCUGACUUUGCAAAGGCUUUCUAUUUAGAGACUGAUGCUUCAGAUUUUGCUUUGGAAGCUGUGCUUUCACAAAUGGGCAUAGACAAGAAGCUUCACCUAGUUGCGUUCUAUUCACGGAAGUUCUCUGCUGCUGAGAUCAACUAUGAGAUCCACGACAAAGAGCUGCUUGCUAUAGUGGAUGCCUUCCAAGAGUGGCGUCACUUCCUCGAAGGAGCUGCACAUCCAGUGACUGUUUAUACGGACCACAAGAAUUUGGAGUACUUCAUGACAGCUCGAAUUUUGAAUCGUCGUCAAGCUCGAUGGAAUAUGUCUCUAUCACAAUUUGACUUUAUUAUCACCUACCGCCCUGGAAAACAGCAAGGAUUAUCUGACGCAUUAUCGAGGAGAUCGUAUCUUGCGCCAAAGGCUGGAGAAGCAGCGUUUGAUCAACAAUGUACAACAUUGUUGAAACCAGAAAAAUUCAGGAUUUUUGCUACUGUUGCAACUAUCGAUGACGGCUUCCUCAGCGAGGUACGUACUGCGACCAUUGAGGAUUCUAUAGCUCUUGACAUCAAACAACGUGUCGAUAAUGACAAGUUUAAGGUGGAGGGAGAUCUUCUGUAUUUUGAGGAGCGGUUGUAUAUCCCGAAAGGACCAACUCGACUCCGAGUACUUCAAUCUCGCCACGACUUUCCAGCUGCGGGACAUUUGGGAUUCAACAAGACUUUGGAGCUCAUUUCACGAGAUUUUUGGUGGCCCCAAAUGUGGAAGGAUGUGAAGGAAUUUGUCCUUUCUUGUGAUGUUUGUUCAAGAUCCAAGAUCCCUCGACAUCGUCCGUAUGGACUUCUCCAGCCAUUGCCUAUUCCGCACCGACCAUGGUCUUCAGUUUCUAUGGACUUCAUUACGGACCUACCGCCAUCGAAUUCAUUUGACAGCAUCUUUGUUGUGGUGGAUCGAUUUACAAAGAUGGCGCAUUUCGUGCCUUGCAAGAAAACAUCGUCAAGUGAAGACACCGCAAGACUCUUUCUUGAUAACAUAUAUCGUUAUCAUGGCCUACCAGAUGAUAUCGUGUCGGAUCGAGGUACUCAGUUUGUAUCCAAGUUUUGGAGGUCCCUCUUUGAGAUAUUGAAGGUGGAUAUUAAGCUCUCUUUGGCUUUUCAUCCUCAAACUGACGGUCAAACGGAGCGGGUGAAUCAAGUUUUGGAGCAAUAUUUACGAUGCAGCAUCAACUAUCAACAAGAUGAUUGGACUGCAUAUCUACCGCUUGCUGAGUUCGCAUACAACAACACUCUUCAUGCGUCAACUCAACAAACACCAUUCUUCUCCAACUACGGAUACCACCCCAAGCUCGAUUUAUUGAGCUCUUCAGCAAAUAACAACCCAGCAGCUGAAGGAUUUGUGAAGCAACUAUCGGAGCUUCAAGCGACGUUGAAGCUUCAAUUGCAAUCUACCCAAGAGAGUUACAAGGCAUCUGCAGAUAAAUAUCGAAAUGAGGUGCCUACUUUUAAAGUUGGAAGUAAAGUAUGGCUUCUUCGAAGGAAUAUCAAGACCAAGCGGCCAUGUGACAAAUUGGACUAUCGGAGAUUAGGGCCAUUUGUUAUCGAGAAGCAGAUCAAUCCGGUGGCAUAUCGUCUGGAGUUACCAGCUACUAUGAAGGUACAUCCAGUCUUUCACGUGUCUUUGUUGGAACCUUAUCGAGAGUCAGCUUUUCCCCAAAGAGUACAAAGUCCGCCACCAAGUAUCGAAAUUGAAAACCAUGAGGAAUACGAGGUGGAAAAGGUACUAGAUUCACGACGUAAUAGGAGAAAAUUGGAGUAUUUAGUGUAUUGGAGUGGAUACGACAUCAAUGAACGAACGUGGGAGCGUGCCGAAAAUCUUGCCAAUGCACCAAAAAAGGUACAAGAAUUUCAUCAACGAUAUCCUCAUAAACCUAAGCCGAUUCAACGAUAGCUUCUUGCUGAAGCUUGCUCAUCAAGUAGCAUAAAAGGGGGGAGGGCACCUCCAAAACCCAUAGUUCGAUAGUGUAGAACUUUGUUAGCAACUAUAGUUUGCUCUCAUCAUUUUAGGCUUUGGACAUGGAUAGUCAAGAUACUACACUUGUUAUGUCAUCUCAAGCGACUAGCUCACGAAGACGACCGCGAGAUGAAGAACCACCUGUACCACGACGACGUCGGAGGAUACCGAGCAACAGAUCGCUAGUAAUUGUAUUUGAAGUGGAGCCUGCCUACGACGGUCAGCCAGAAGGUGUGUUUGGAGGACAGUUUCACAAUGAAGACACAGAAGUCCACGCUUGGUCAGAGGUUGAAGGUGUUGGUCACUACCGUUGGCUCCAAGGGCCGAUGAAUCAUUUGCCUCGCGAACAACAAUUGGAAUUCAUAGCGGAUGUGAUGCGACAGAUUUUCAUUUUCUUGCGUUGGUAUUGACUGAUAACAACAUUGCUUCUCGGAGACCUCGAAGUUAGAAGAGGAGGUGAUGUCAUGGACAUACAUUAGAAGAUUCUUCGAAUAUUCUUCUAGAAUAUUCUCUAAAGAUUAUCUAAAGAUUCUUUUAGAAGGUUCUAGAAGAUUCUUAGAAUAUUCCCUAAAGAUUCUCUUAAAAGGUUCUAGAAGAUUCUUAGAAGGUUCUAGAAUAUUCUGAUAGAUUCUAGGAAGUUGCUCAAGAAGUUUCCUAAUUAGUAGAAGUUGUUGGAGAAGCGUCCUAGUUAGCGGAAGUAGCUCGAGAAGCUUCCUAUUCAGUAGUAUAUAUAGGAGUCGAGGCUGAAGGGUUCUUCAGUCUCGACAACACAUCUCUUGGAGUUCUAGCUCACCUUUCUGGUGUUGUUCUUGUACUCAUCUGUUUAAUCUAGUUCUGCCACUUCUUCUUGAACUUCUUGUUAGAUUUCAAGUUUGUAUUUUGUGUCCGUGACAGGCAUAAGCGUAUUAGAAGUUUGCGGAUUAUCCACUUCUAAACUGAUAUUGUUCUUAGUAUCUUCUUUGUUAUCAAGUCUUUCUUUUCUUUUGUCUUGAGCAGUAUCAAACAAAUUUUUCUUCCUAGUGUCAUUAUGGCAGAGCUUGUUGAAAUGAAGAGUGCCAUGGCACAAAUGCAAGAGCAAAUGAGGGAGUUAAUGCUUGUCAUGCAUCAACUCAAUUCAUCAACACAGGAAAGAACAAGAAUAGCAGAAAGUGGAGAUAUAGAGAUGAUCGGAGCUGCUUCAACAUCUACAACAAAUCACGUUCUUUCUCCAAUAGUACAACACCCUAUAAGUACUAGAGAACCAAGAAUUGCCUUACCUGAGAAAUUUGAUGGUACGAGAUCAAAGUUUCGAGGGUUCAUCAAUCAAGUACAAUUGGCAAUUGAACUUCAACCGCAAAGCUAUCCAACUCCAGGAUCACAAGUCAGGUUUAUUGGCACUCUACUUUCUGGUUCUGCAUUAUCGUGGUUUUCGUCUUUUCUUGAACAACGAAAUCCAAUAUUGGACAAUUUGGAAGCUUUUUUGGCGGAAUUUCGAUCUAUGUAUGGUGAACACGAUGCAACUCGUGUUGCAACAAAUAAGAUCCGAAUUCUGCGACAAGGAAAUCGCUGAGUAACAGUAUAUGCUUUACAAUUUUGACAACUUGCAAUUGACAUCAAGUGGAAUGAUGCUGCACUCAUCAGUCAAUUUCUUUAUGGAUUGCAAUACGAAGUAAAGAAAUUGAUGCUCAACUUACCUGAUCCUCAAACUUUGAGUCAAGCAAUCAAUUUUGCGGUAAAAUGUGAUAAUCGACUUUUCGAAUUUUGAUCCGAGAAUCAUUCACGGAAACCUCAACAUUAUUACUCAAUGGCAACAUCAACAUCUUUGUCAAACGUACAUUUGAAAGUAGAAGACAUGCAAAUUGACCCGGUAUGUUUUAAACCCCUAACUGAGCAAGAAAAGAUUUAUCGUCGUCAAGAAGGAUUAUGUUUAUAUUGUGGAGAACCUAAGCACACUGCUCAACAUUGUCCUAAGAAACGACGCAACUAUAAAAUGAGGGGUAUGACGGUCAAAGAAGACAACAUGUCGGAAAAUGGAUUCGUCCAGCUACAAUAGGGACCGUGCAGCUGGAACCUUGUACAAUUCCUAAUGAAGGUCCUAUCCUCUCCUCAGAACCCUCUCCUUGUUUUAUGAUAGACUUAUAUUUAGGACCUAAGAAUUACAAAGCCUCUGCUUUAUUAGAUUCGGGAGCCUCAGCAUGUUUUUUAGAUGAACGAUUUGUUAAAAGUCGUAAAAUACCCUUUGUACGGAAACCUAAACCAGUACAUGUAGAAGUCAUAGAUGGUCGUCCCUUGUCUUCUAGAGAUGUCACUCAUGAAACUCAUCCUAUAAAAGUAACAAUAGACGGUCAUGAUAGCUACAUAGCUUUUAAUAUAAUUAAAUCCCCGUCCAAUCCAAUUAUUUUAGGUUUAUACUCGCUAGAAAAAUAUAAUCCUUGAAUAGAUUGGAAUUUACGUAAACUUGAUUUUUCCCAGAGCGUUAUUAAUAGUUCUACCAACCAAGUACAAAAUUAUAAGUCUAGUAUAGUAAAAACCGUACUGAUAGGUGCAAAAGCAUUUAUAUACGCAGCAAAAGAAGGAUCAACUUUUGCUAUUUAUGCUGCACCUAUUUCUGAAAACGUAAAGACUUCAAGUGGCAUUCCAAGUCAAUAUCAGGAGUAUCAAGACGUUUUUGAGAAAAAGAAUGCAGAUAUUCUUCCUGAGCAUCGCCCAUAUGAUUGUUCAAUCGACCUCAAGGAAGGAACUCAGCCACCAUUUGGACCAAUUUACAGUUUAUCGCAAGAUGAGAUGGCUGAACUCAAGACAUAUAUUGACGAGAAUUUAGUGAAGAAUUUCAUACGCCAUUCAAAAUCUCCAGCAGGAGCUCCAAUUCUAUUCGUAAAGAAAAAAGAUGGAUCUUUACGAAUGUGUGUUGAUUAUCGAGGACUCAACAAGAUCACAAUCAAGAACAGAUAUCCAUUACCUUUGAUAUCAGGACUCCUUGAUCAGUUGAAUCAAGCUAAGAUCUAUACAAAAAUAGAUCUAAGAGAAGCAUAUAAUCUAGUACAGAUCAAAGAAGGAGAUGAAUGGAAGACUGCAUUUUGAACCAGGUAUAGACAUUUCGAAUAUAAUGUCAUGCGCUUUGGACUCACGAAUGCACCAACUGCUUUUUAACAUCUCAUGAAUGAUGUAUUACGUGAAUUCUUAGACAAUUUUAUCGUCUGCUAUCUAGACGAUAUCCUAAUCUAUUCUAAGAACGUCGAAGAACAUGAAAUACAUGUUCGUCAAGUAUUACAAAAACUUAGAGAUGCAGGAUUGUACGCCAAGAUGGAAAAGUGUAUAUUUCACACCACUCAAGUCGACUUUUUAGGAUACAUCAUUUCAAAUGAUGGUCUCAUGAUGGAUUCUAAGAAAGUCCAAAUAAUCAUGGAUUGGAAGAUUCUAAGGACAGUAAGAGAUGUCCAAUGUUUCUUGGGAUUUGCCAAUUACUAUCGGAUCUUCAUCAAAGAUUUCUCACGAAUUGCAGCUCCACUUACGCGCUUGACUAGUAAAGAUAAAUUCCAAUGGAAUCAAGAAGCGGAAGCAGCAUUUGAAGCCUUGAAGACAUCGUUUGUCUCUGCACCAGUCUUAUAUCGUGUUGACUUUUCCAAGGCAUUUUUUAUGGAAACAGAUGCAUCAGAUUUUGCCUUGGGUGCAGUUUUAUCACAAAUGGGACCAGAUGACAAACUUCAUCCGAUAGCUUUUCAUUCAAGAAAAUUCUCAGCAGCCGAGAUCAAUUAUGAGAUCCACGAAAAAGAACUACUUGCAAUCGUGGAUUCCUUUCAAGAAUGGCGUCAUUAUCUAGAAGGCGCUUCUAGUCCAGUCACUGUGUAUACAGAUCACAAGAACCUCAAGUAUUUCAUGUCAGCACGCGUGUUGAAUCAUCGUCAAGCUCGUUGGAGUAUGUCUUUGUCAAGAUUCGAGUUCAUUAUCACUUAUCGGCCAGGAAAACAAUAAGGUUUAUCCGAUGCCCUAUCUAGACGUUAUUAUUUUGCACCAAAAGAAGAAGUUGCAGCUUUUGAGCAACAAAGAACGGUCCUCUUGAAACCAGAGCAAUUUCAUCUCCGAGCAAUGAAAUCAACAUUGACUGUUGAUUCAACUUUUUUCAAGCAAAUUCAGUCCAGUAUGUCCUCAGACCCUCUUGUUCAUGAUAUCGAGAAUAAUUCUUCCAAGUCUCAUGAUCCUUCUAAGUUCGAGUUCAAGAAUAAUCUAUUAUAUUUUGAAGGACGCCUAUAUGUUUCAAAAAGAGAAGCACGUUUACGUGUUCUUCAAGCACGUCAUGACUUUCCAGCAACAGGGCACUUUGGAUAUAAUAAGACUUUGGAACUCAUAUCAAGAGAUUUUUGGUGGCCUCAAAUGUGGAAGUCAGUCAAAGACUUUGUACAAUCAUGUGAUAUUUGUUCAAGAUCAAAAAUUCCUCGUCAUCGACCUUACGGACUUCUUCAGCCAUUACCUAUACCAGAACAACCAUGGUCUUCUGUUUCUAUGGAUUUCAUCAUAGAUCUUCUAAGCUCAAGAUCUUAUGAUUCUAUAUUUGUGAUAGUAGAUCAUUUCACCAAGAUGGCACAUUUUGUGCCAUGUACAAAAUCUAUCACAGGUGAAGAAACAGCUAAGCUUUUCAUUGAUAAUAUCUAUCGCUAUCAUGGAUUACCUAAAGAUAUCAUAUCGGAUAGGGGAACUCAAUUUGUGUCAAGAUUUUGGAGGACCCUUUUCAAGAUUUUAAAAGUGGACAUAAAGCUAUCUUCGGCUUUCCAUCCUCAAAUUGAUGGACAAACAGAGCACGUUAAGCAAGUCUUGGAGCAAUAUUUAAGGUGUACUAUCAACUACCAACAAGAUGAUUGGACAACCCUUUUGCCAUUGGCAGAGUUUACUUAUAAUAAUACGGUACAUUCUUCCACGCAACAAACAUCUUUCUUUGUCAAUUAUGGCUAUCAUCCACGACUUGAUACUUUUGAUUUUUCAAAAGUUGAUAAUCCUGCAGCAGAAGAUAUGGCAAAUCGGUUGUCAAAGUUACAUGCAAUAAUGAAGACGCAAUUGAAGGAAGCUCAAGAACGACAAAAGAUAAACGCAGAUCUAUAUCGUAAGGAGCAACUACAACUCAAUGUCGGUGAUAAGGUAUGGCUACUUCGUCGCAAUAUCAACACUACUCGACCUUGUGACAAGUUGGACUAUCGUAGGCUUGGCCGUUUUUUUGUUUCUGAAUAGAUCAACCCAGUUGCAUAUCGGUUACAUCUACCGGAGUCAAUGAAGAUCCAUCCUGUAUUCUACGUGUCUCUUUUUGAACCAUAUAAGACAGUGGAUAUACAAGGAAGAAGACAAAUACCACCGCCUCCUAUAGAAGUAGAUAAUAAUGAAGAAUUUGAGGUGGAAGAGAUAUUAGACUUAAGGCGGCUCCGAAAUAAGCUGGAAUAUCUUGUUCAUUGGCGCGGAUAUGAUAUUAGUGAAUGCACAUGAGAGCCAUCCAGGAAUCUAGCAAAUGCAUCAGCUAAAGUCAAAGUUUUUCAUCAACGACAUCCAUCAAAACCAAGAUGAAAAUCUCUCUUAUUAAAGAGACAAGAUUGAAGCAAGAUAACAUUCAAUUUCCUAUCCUUGUUUGUAACUUCUUUGUAUUUGUGACGCUAAUUAGAUGGAGAGCCAACAACCAGCGGAUUCAACUCAAGAACCUUCGUUUGCUGACUUACCGGACGAGACAUUACGAUUGUCACAACCUUCAAGACGACGCAAUCGAGAUGAAGAUCUUCAAGAACGACAUGUUCUACCUCGAAUAGAUGGUGAGAUACAACACGUUUGGUAUCACGAUUUGGGAAGGGACUCUCGAUGUUUGGUGAUGUUGCUAGAGGUAGGAACAACUCCUGAUGGUGUUCCAAAUAUUCUAUUCGAUGGAAGUUACGAAGGCCUCAACAAUGAUCAAAUAACUGGGUAGUCUUCCCACCCUGGUAUGGGACACUACCGAUGGUUGAGAGGCCCUAUCAAUCAUCUUCGAAGAGAACAGAGAUCAGAGUAUGUGGCGAAUACAAUUCGUCGCAUCAUAGAUUUCUUCAACAUAUGAUGACUGCUCCUCGUGGAACUCGUCUCUAGAAGGGGGGGUAAUGUCACGGCCAUAAUCAUGUAAGCUAAUAAUUACAUAUAGAAAUAGGUAGAAGUAAGUAAAAGUAUAUAAAAGUAAGUUAAUUCUAUAAUAUUUAAUAUAGAAGCUUCCUAGAAACUUCCUAGACGCUGCUUUGACUUCAUAGGUGUCUUUAAUUGACUUUUUGGAUUAAAAACGUGGUCAACAAGUUGGCCAUGUGCCACACAUGUUGUUAGCUUGAAGAUCAAGCUAACUAUGUGGUCCACACGUAGAAAAACUUGCCUUGUAAGUCAAGGCAUGUGUCCUACAAAGUCAACACAUAUUGGAGGUCCUAUAGAACGUCACCACGUAGCCCCUAGUUAGAUAGUAUAUAUAGAGACAAGAGUGAAGGCUUCUUCACUCUUGUCAACUCCUUUCUUGCUUCUAGUCUAGUUUCAAGGGUCUCUAGUUUUCUUGUCUUUUGGCAAUAGCCAUUUUAGUUUCUCUUUUCAAUAUACAUACUUAUUAUUCAUAUUUUGUUACUUUUCUUUGAGUGAAGGCUUACUUGUCUGAACUGUUUUUUCAUCGAGUUCUUGUCCUUGACAGAAUAUUUCGAUAGAGUUUCUAUAUUUUUUUUUUCAUAUAUAUGUUAAAAAUCUUGAUAUUAGCUUAGAAUGCUACUUGAAAUCUUCUCACCAUUAAAAAAAAGUGCAAUAUAAAUGACAUAAAGUAGUCCUUCUUUUGCAGUAUGUAAGAAAGUUCUUGCACCUACAAGUUUAAUAUACUAGGCUUAUGACUUUUUACUUGAUCAACUAUAAUCUCAAUUAUACUUUCAAAAAAGUUAAGACUUCAAGAAAUUCAAUUUAUUUUUGAAUUAUAUUUUUUUAGCCAUGAUAAACCUAAAAUGAUUAGAUUAGAAAGAGAUCUAAUGAUAUUAUAUAUUAUAAAGCUACUAUGAAUAUUACCUGUUACUUCUAUAGGAAGGAUUUCAUAAGUAACAUCUUCUGAAGAUAAUGGACUAUCAUCUAUAACUUCUAUGUGAAUAAGUUUAGUUUUCUCCACUAAAGAUAUGCUAUAUUUUUUAGCAAAUUCUUCAAUUAAAAAACAUGCUAAAGCUCUUGAAUUGAACAAAGCAUAAGCUUUAUGAUGUUUAGGUCCUAAAAUAACAUUUAUUGUAAAAUAGUUAUCAAUAAAAAAACAUAGUAGUGUUCAAAAACUAGUAGUAUGUUUUUUUUUAUUGAUAACUACUAUGUUUUUUUUAUUGACAACUACUAUUUCAAAGCUUGUCUUGAAUCAAAAUGCUUAUCUAAAACUACACGUUAUAAUAAGAUAUAACUUUAAAAUUUUAUCUAAAAUUUUUUACUUUCAAAUUCUUUACACUAUUAUGUAUUAUUACAUAAAUAUUAUUUCUUCACUUUUGUAGAUAAGAAUAUGAAUAGUUAAUGGUUUUUUGUCUAUAAUUUAUAUUCAAAAAAUCUAUUUAAGCUUAGGUAUUUUAUUUAGUUUUUUAGAUGUUUUUAUUAUUCUGAUUUAGUAAUAUUAUUAUUUGAUAUUUUUUUUUAAAUUCAAAAAUUUUCAUAAUCCUCAUACAUUUUUUAUCAAAUAAUACCAACAAUGUUACUUUUAGAUAAAAAAAAUUUAUGGUGUUUUGAGCACAUGAGUUAUCAAUAAAAAACAUAGAAGUGUUCAAAAAGAAUUUACUUGUAUUCUAGGUUGAGAUAAAAACCAAAUGAGAUAAAUUUAUUUGAUCAUUUAAUUUAUUAUAUGUAGAUUUAACAACUUUAAAUUAAUAAAUUUUACAAAAACUAAAUCUGUAGGAAAGAAAUGUUCAGAAUAGAGAGUUUCAUUUGCUACCUGCUAUCUAGGAAAUGGCCUAUGGGGAAACAACAACCUAAGAAAAGAAAAAAAAAAUCUUACAGAAAAUGUUUUUAUUUGUGUAUUAAACAAAUUGUAAAGAAACCUCUCUAAAAAAAUUCAAUGUUGCAAAAUCAUUUGCAUAUGCAGGUGAUGAUGGAUUUGAGCUCUACUACAAAAUUUCUUUUGUGGACAGGAUCCCACCCCCACUGCUAACUCUACGAAUGACUUCGCUCAACCAUUCGUGGCCUGACAUGCAUAGAUUUGUAAGUAUACAACCGAGCGCACCACACAAAAGCCAAGGUAUUGGCAAAGCUGAGAAUAGCCAGAAGCCAAUAAAAAUAAUCCAUGUGGCUCCGAUUGAGGUUGUUACCGAUCCAACCACCAUUUGAAUCAUACGUGAUACGAGUGACAAUUGACACCAAGACACUACUUACAAAACUUCCCACCGCAACAGUGCUGAGAUACAACGCAUUGCCAAGGCUUCUCAUCGAAUCAGGAGCUUGGUCCAGAAAGAACUCCAUCUGACCAACACUGAUGAACACUUCACAGAUGCCUGUGAGUACAUACUGUGGAAGCAGCCAGAAGAUGGAUAUAGGCACUUGGCCAAAAUCCAUGCUUCCGGAGUCAGCUACCACUUUGAGACGCCGCAUUUCCACGGCUGCAGCUACUGCAAUAGACAGGCUUGAAAGGAUUUGUCCCACUCCGAUGCGCUGCAGUAAAGUCAGUCCCCGAAUAUCGCCCGUGAAGCCGCGAACAAAGGGAACGAAAUACUUGUCAUAAAGGGGAAGAAAAAUGCAAAUAGUGGCCGUGAUGAAGAGCGGCAUAGAAGCUGCAGGAAUCUCAAAAUUGGGCCCCAUGUGACGGUCCAUGGUGCUUCCUUGGUUUAGAAAGAGUGUACCGACUUGGGCAAAUACGGCGGAGAACAUGAGAUUUGUCCACCAGAUGGGAAGCAUUCGGACUAGUAGCUUCACCUCCUCCACUUGAGUGACUGUGCACACCUCCCAGGGGCUUUGCCUACCGUCCACCUUGUGCAUGCUGCCCUCAUCGCUUGGUUUCACAGCUGCUUUGUCCAGAAAACUGUAGCAGACAUUAGUACCGUUUCAUUAAUCUACCAGUGAAAAUUACAGAGUUCUUUAAAGGGAAUCCUACACUCGAAAUUGAAGUGGUGAUGACUAUGGCAAGCUGCAAGGUGGUCGCCGGUCUACUCGGAUUCUUGAAUUCCCUUGUCAAUGGACAGCAAAAAAAGAUGUAUGAAAAGAAGUCGAUCACAGUAUCAUUACCUAUGAUGCAUGGAUGUGCAGACACAGAAGGCAUUACGCGCGGCUAUCACUACAAAAUCCUCUGUCGGGUGCAAAUGGGUCAUGCCGAGUACGACGACGCUCUUCAAGAUAUUUGCGCAAAGUAGGAGGCAAACUGAAAGCAAUCAACCACAGCAAAAGGAUUAAGAUGAUCACAUAGCAGAAAUACGAUGACUUACUGCAAGCUUGAAGUAUGGGGAAGUCUCCUCCGAAAAGAAGAGGCAUCAUCAACUUCAUACAAGAAUUCAGGGUUGGUUGGAACGGGGAUGUUCCAUUUCCUCACCGCUGCACACAACACUUGGGCCACUCGGGUCAGAGGGCUGCCGGAGGGGAUUUGGUGUCUGUACAGGGGAGUGCCCAUAAGGAAUGCGAGAGUGGCUAGCCCUGUGAUGGCCGUGGGAACACCAUAGCCCCAUGCCCAGCCCACAUUGUCUUGCACGUAAACAAGAAUACUAACCGAGAGCAUCGUGCCAAAGCUGAUGCUCACAAACCACCAAUUCGGAAAGGACAUCCUGCGCCUCGCCUCUUUCGGAUCGUUGUUAUCGAACUGGUCACCCGCAAAUGCGGUGACGCAGGAUUUUAUACCCCCGGCGCCCAAAGCCAUUAGGUACAGAGAGAAGUAGAAGAAGCAUAUCUGGCUGGUUGAGGCUUUCUGGCAACCGGUGACCGAGGAGAGCAUGGCAACGUUGCACACGGGAGGUUUAAGGGCUGGGAGUGACACCGACAUUGUGACACACACCAAUGACUGCAAAGGGGACAUUCGCAGAGAGCAGCAGAUUAGGUUAUAUAGCUCAUAACUCCCACGAGCAAGGUUUGAGUAUUUAUGCCACUGCUCAAAUGGUGCAGGUUCACUAAAGCCGAGUGCACGUGGGUUUAAGGUUUCUUCAAACAAUUGCAUGAGAACAUGCACAGGGCAGAGGGAGUGUACCACAAUGUAGCACACAGAGGAGACUGUGAUUGUCCAGUACCGACCGAGAAAUGCAUCGCCCACGAAUGCGCCCAGCAAAGGCGUCAUGAAUGUCGUGCCCCCCCAAUUGUUCACAUUCUUCGCGGACGUAGAUACAUCUUCAUGAAGCACCGUCGUGAGAUAUAUGACCAGAUUCGAGGAGAUGGCGUAGAAUGCCACCCUCUCGCACACCUCACACCCUACAAUGGAGAAGCAAUCGGGUGCGUCUCAUUAUUAGAGGCACCACGACAAUAGACGCGAUUGAAGCCAAAAACAGAGGAGUGAAAUUUGGAAUGUUAAAGAAGCAUACCGAAGAUUAAGCUACAGGCCUUCCAGUUUCCAGAUUUUGACUUCACGCAAGGGUGACCGCGGAUAUCCACAGAGCCAUCACUCACUCUCCCCUCAUCAACCUGCAUCUCUUCCUUGUCUGAGGCAUCUUUCCCUCUGCUUGAACCGCUCAUGUACUUAACAUGCGGGGGAGGCUCAGGAACUGGAGGGUCGUCCUCUAGGAGCAUCUCACUGCUCAUUUACCAACAUUUCAAAACACUACAAAGCACUCACAUCUAGCUCUUACCAAAAUUGGAUUCUACAACAAAAGAUCAGGCCACACACAAAAUUGGAUUAGUCGUUUUACAGUUUUAGGUCUUGCCCUGGCUCGUGCAUGAUUACUUUCGAUGGUUGGGCUGUCUGCCUUCCUCACAAGCUGCUUGUUCUUCCUCUUUCGUUUCCGUUUUCCAGCAGAGGAAGGGAUUGUCGAAGUACAAAUUUAUUAGCAUGAGAUUGCAGAGAUUCCGCGUAGCUGUUUUGACACUUCUGCAAUCAUCGGAACCUUGGAAUUAUUGCGGAGCAAACUUUCAGGGCUGGAAAGCCCUCAACAUCCUUCUCACUGCUGCUUGUCAAUUGGAGGUAUCAAUCACCAUUAUAACCUCCUCAUUCAAAUCCAAACUCGCAACAAACAUGCAGUCAAGUAAUAGGAGUUCUUCCAACAGACAUAUACCUCAAGCCCAGACCAACACACUGACGAAAAUGUUUGAGGUGCAUGCAUAACAAGAAUUGGAAACUGGGGAGUCUCUUUGUCCACGGAAUCAAGCACAUUCAACUGCAAUUCGUAUGCCGGAAUGGGCGAAGGAAGCGAGAUGCAAUCUCCUUCGACACACCAGACGGGAAGGAAACCGCUGAUUAAACCUCGGGCAAGAACAGUGGCAAGAGAUUACACCGAAGGCAGUGUGACAAGGAAUCGACGGCACACAGCCGUGAGAAAAGAUUGCAUUGUGACGCUUGCAGGGUCCCUCCUGCACAGUCGGAUAGUCUACAUGGCGACGCUUUGAGCUGUUUAACCGUGACCCACACAUACAGGCACACCCUUUCAUACCGUGGCAACAUGAAACGCGCACAUAUUGGGAUUGAAACGCCCAAAUAUUUCACAACAUGCACACAGCAUGCACAUUUUUGCGAUGGUGAAGAAUAAACUUCGAUAGUUCUAAAGGGAACGUGGGUGUCUGGAGCUUAGAACUGCAAAUCUUUAGGGAUUCGAGAAUCUGGUCAAACCCCGUCGACAUACGUAAUUUAUGACUAAUGAACAGAAAAUUAGGAACGUCUUCUGCACAUGCUGAACUGGUCUUAUGAACCUGCGAAAUAACUGGAAUGGUGACUUGAUGGAGUUGCCUAAAAUGAUGGGAAUAGGAAUUACGUUACACGCAGAUGAGUUCCCAGACAGCGCUGUGGUAACUGGAUGCUUAUUGAAUUGAGACUCUGCAGGUCAGUCUUAAACCUUCCGCAAGAACAGGGAGACACAGAUCGCCACAGCCACGGUGGUUGCAAUUUACUUCCUCACUAGAACAUCCGUUUCUCAUCAUGCGCUCAGGAUUGAACAUGAAACUGGAAGUGAUCUCAUCCAGUGUUUCAGCGGGGACUAGCAGUGAUUCGUACACGUUUGGAACCGCUGUUGGUUGCCUAUACACUUUAUUGCAUCCAGUGGCCCAUUUGGGACAUUAUGAUGAAAUGCAUGCUUCGUUCUCUUGGAAGCCAACUGCUGAGUACUUGGAGUUUGAGUUGAGUUGUGUGAUGAAGAUAGUGAGGAUCGUUCAGUUAUAAUAAGCCUGAUUCAUGGCAUAGUAUAGGGAAUCGAACGUCACACCUUCGUUCUGGAUUAGGUGUUCAAUUUCACGUUGGACCAUCCGACAGUGUGAAGAUUCAGUUGCUGGUGCCAAUUAGGGGUUGCUUCGUUUCAUCUCUUUAACUUCUAAUUUGCGAUUCAACAAACAGAUUUUCUUAUUUUGCACUAGCUGUUGUUCGUAGACCGUUGCCGGGAUCCUUAGAAAUGCGAAAACUUGUGAAAUUAUCAAUACAUUUAUCUACAGAUCAACCGAUGCGUACAAAAAAUAUUGCACGAGCGUUAUGAUUGUUCCAAAAUUUUCUGUUAAAUGCUAGGUUAAGCAGCAAUUGCAAGAUACUAGUAUGUAAGCAGAGAUGCCAGGCAAAAUUUCUUUGUGGCUGGAGUCUCAGACUCAGAUAAGGAAGUGCAUUUGCGAUAAGAUUGUUUUUUGUCACGGGAAUCAUGGAACGGUGGGUGUGCAAUUUGUUGUCGGUGAAAAAUGGCAACGUUUAUUACUGGCUCCUUGGCCUUUGGUGCCUAAUCAUAUACGACACUUAGCUCAAGGCGUAAAUUCCUUACCGAGAAGCAUUAAAAGCCGGCGACAAUUCAAUGUAGGGUCUUUACGCGAAUUCCGUGGGAGCUCUGUAAGUCUUAAUGAGGCACGAAGCAGCUUUCAGCUCUAUCCCCGCAGCUUUGACAUCUUCUCCCGAAGCCGCAAAUUCGUAGAGGGUUUUCGUGGAAGUGCACUGCGUUCCUUGCAUGGGAGCAAUAUGAGGUUCAAUCAGCCCAAAGCCGUUCCUCUCUCGAAAUUGAAGGAUAAUUUUAUUGAUGGUACCAGUGGUAAUUUCUUGGAGGAACAUCAGCGGCAGUGGGAAGCUGAUCCUCAGAGUGUGGACGUGUCUUGGCAAAUCUUUUUCAAAAAUUUCACUGGGUCGAGUGGAGGAAAAGGGCGAGCUUCGUCUGAAGUGACUUCAGCAGGCCAUGCUACUCAGGUAUCUGGUACAGAAGAUUGAACUGAGGAUCUCUGUGAACUCUAAUCACGUCCAUUCUGUCUCCUGGAACUGCAUGUGCUUUUCUACAAAAGACAUCAUGAUUUUGUUACGAUCCGCGGUUGUCUAAGAGGUGGCUAGAUUUCUAAAUGCUUCCAUCGCUCAAUUUGUGUAUCAUUCUGUAGUGGAGAAUGCCUUACUUCUUAGCUCUGUUCAUGAAAUUUUGGAUUAAGCCCUUCAUUAUACUUCCUCACUUUUCAACCCUGCUUUACCCCCAGGAUGGUUUGCGGAUUGCGAUGUUAGUUAGAGCUUACCAAGUUAGUGGCCAUAUGAAAUGCAAACUAGACCCAUUGAAUUUGGAUACCAAAGCUGCACCUGCUGAGCUAGACCCUGGCAGCUACGGAUUCUCUGAAUCUGAUAUGGACCGAGAGUUCAACGUUGGUGUUGAAACAAUGGCUGGGUUAUUGGGUGGAAAUCAACCCCAGACAUUAAAAAACAUCAUUUCACGGCUGGAGAAUGUUUAUUGUGGAACCAUAGGCUACGAAUACAUGCACAUACAAGACCGGGAUAAGUGCAACUGGCUCAGAGACAAGAUUGAAAAUCAGGUGACUGAUUCAAUUUAGCCUUUGGAGCUGAAAAUCAAACAAAUCGUUAGCAUCACCUAAAUUGACCUAUUUUCACGCGUAAUCAUCUCCUGAUCAUAUUAACCUUUAGUAUUGAGGUUUUGCCACCGUGCAUUGUCUUGCAUGUAGACUUUGAUACAGUGGAGUUUCUUGAAACUGCAUGAAUUUAAGCUUGUUGACGAUAUAGCCGUUCUAAUAUUUCUGAAGUGUUAACAGAAUGUUUCGUACACUCCUGCUCAAUGUGCGGAGAUUUUUGACCGGUUGAUGUGGGGGACCCAUUUUGAAAGCUUUAUAGCUCAGAAGUGGACAGCAGCAAAGCGAUUUGGGCUAGAGGGAUGCGAGACUCUGAUCCCCGGAAUGAAGGUAUGAAUAUGUGUAAUCACCUUUUGAAUAGUAACGUGUAACCCUACUGAAACGUAUGUAUACUAGUUAAUUUUUCUCUCGAGGAUGAUACUUUGCUCAAGCAGUUCCUCCAUUUUACUAACGAGACGUAUACAUUCGCAGGAGAUGAUCGAUACUGCAGCAGAUUGUGGAGUGGAGAGUAUUGUUAUUGGGAUGCCCCACCGUGGGCGAUUGAAUGUGCUGGGAAACGUAGUACGAAAGCCACUGCGGCAUAUUUUCAGCGAGUUUAGUGGAGGCAUCAAACCGGUGGGAGAGGAUGGGAGCUACACAGGCAGUGGUGAUGUGAAGUAUCACUUGGGCACAUCUUAUGACCGGCCCACCCGGAGUGGCAAGAACAUCCAUUUGUCCUUAGUGGCCAACCCUAGCCAUUUGGAGGCUGUAGCACCGGUAGUAAUUGGCAAGACACGUGCUAAGCAGUACUACGGUCAAGACAAACAGCGGCUUAAGAAUAUGGCGGUAAUUUUGCAUGGUGAUGGCAGCUUCUCUGGCCAGGGAGUCGUGUAUGAAACCCUGCACCUGAGUGACCUCCCCAACUAUACAACGGGUGGCAGCAUCCACAUCGUUGUCAACAACCAGGUCUGUAAUAACGGUUUUUUCGCACUCUCUUCAUUCCAAUUCUUUUGCAUUGGAAACGAGUUUUGCAAUGUAGGCUACAACUCUGUAAUAUCAGAACAUUCCAGACUUGCCUCUUGACAGUUCUCUUGUUUUCUCGUGUUUAUGUUUCAGGUUGCCUUCACAACAGACCCCAAGUUCAGUCGCUCCUCACCUUACUGCACUGAUGUAGCGAAAGCACUGUGCGCCCCAAUAUUCCAUGUAAAUGGGGAUGAUGUGGAAGCCGUCACACGCGUUUGUGACUUGGCUGCUAAAUGGCGCUGUCACUUCCUUUCUGAUGUAGUUGUGGACAUCGUGUGCUAUCGAAGGUAAAUUACAUGUCAUUUUCCAGGUGCACUAGGAGUCUUUUAUCCGUCAAUACAUUCUUAUGACUGCUCUCACCUGUAGAACUGUUCCUCAUAUUUCAAGCUAAUGAUUUUUUAUUUUUUAUCUUUUAUUUAUUUUCUAUAUUCGUUUUUUGUGCUUUAUUUUUUCUUUUUUUUUGUUUUGGUAUUUUUGGGGUACUGCAGAUUUGGACAUAAUGAGAUUGAUGAGCCAUUGUUUACACAGCCUACUAUGUACCAUGUGAGACCCUCAUUUCUUCAACCAUAUCUUUGUUUAUCUUGUGCAUACUGGAUUUUGGAAGUUGUUGUGAUAAGGUCACAAUGUGUUGGUUCAGCCAUAUUUGAACUUUUCGCAUGAACAUUCCUUGCUUCAGGUAAUAAAAAGCCAUCCAAACUCACUUGCUAUAUAUGAGAAGAAACUUAUUGAAAAUGGACUUUUAGCCAACGGCGAGAUAGAAAAAAUGAAGGCCAAAGUAAUUGGAAUAUUAAAUUCUGAAUUUGAGAGUAGCAAAAACUAUGUUCCAAAAAAACGCGAUUGGCUUGCAGCGUUUUGGGCAGGAUUCAAAGGUCCAGAACAGUUGUCAAAACUACGAAAUACAGGGUAAUACGCAUCAUUGCGAUUUGCAAACGUGACAACUAAUCGCGUGCCGUGUUUUUAAUUCACAAAUGAUACAUUUAAACCAAUUUAAGAGAUAUCAUUAGACAAUACAAUUAACUAAUCAGGAUAUUCAUUUACUAAUCUUGACAGUGUGAAACAAGCAAUAUUGAAAGAAGUUGGAAAGAACAUCACUCUGCUUCCAGCCACAUUUAAUCCACAUAAAGCAAUCAAGCGAAUCUACGAGCAAAGAGCUCAAAUGGUCGAAAAGGGUGAAGGGGUAGAUUGGGCAACCGGUGAAGCACUUGCCUUCGGAACUCUUUUGGUAGAAGGCAACCAUGUUCGUCUCAGUGGACAAGAUGUUGAAAGAGGGACUUUUAGUCACCGCCAUGCCAAGGUCCAUGACCAGAAAAAUGGACAAGUAUAUUGCCCACUGGAUCAUGUUCUGAAAAGCCAGCCGCCUGAUUACUUCACCGUUUCGAACAGGUACGAGAUAUGUUUUGGCACCACAUAAUCUAUUGUGCAGUGACUUGCUAAAGUCUCGUACAUUGGUUCAAACUAUUUAUUUUCUCGCCGCAAGGCUUCUCGAAUCUUACGUUGGGUUGUGACAGCUCUUUGUCAGAAUUUGGAGUGUUGGGAUUUGAAUUGGGGUAUUCGAUGGAAAAUCCCAACUCCUUGGUUUGUUGGGAAGCCCAGUUCGGCGACUUCUCCAAUACUGCACAAGUCAUCUUUGAUCAGUUUGUCUCUAGUGGUGAAUCCAAGUGGUUACGCCAAACUGGAUUGACUGUGUUGCUCCCACAUGGAUACGAUGGUCAAGGUCCUGAGCAUUCAAGCGCUCGUUUGGAGCGAUACCUUCAGGUACGUAGUGCUGCUUUCUUCAUUAUCAUCUUAAGGGAUGAAGAUGUGCAUACUGGUGAAUUCUUUCUGGCUUGUGUCAUUUAGUGUUAGAUUAAUAUGAUGGACAUAUCAUGAAACUUCAUGCGAAUGUUACACCCCAUUUAUGUGGGAUAACUCUGGUUCAGAAUCUCAGUUCAAUGCUUACUAUCUUCUUCCUCAUAUUGUCAUCUAGAAGGACACGCACAGAUUAAUUACUUACAAGUAUUAUGUAAAACUAGAUGUGUGACGACAAUCCGUUCAAGUUCCCAGUAUUGGAAGCUGACUCCACGAAACAAUCUCAAGAAAUCAACUGGCAAGUUGUAAAUGUCACCACACCUGCCAACUACUUCCAUGUACUUCGUCGACAGGUGAGUUUUAUAUUUCACUUAACAUUCAUUCAAUGUACUGGAUUGUAUUCGCAUGUGGAGGUACUGUGUGAGGUUCAAUGUAAGCUGUAGUACUCAUUUGUUAUGAUUUCCUGCUACAAAAUAGGUUCACCGUGACUUUCGAAAGCCAAUGAUUAUUAUGUCUCCCAAAAAUUUGUUAAGACAUCAAAAAUGUCGUUCCAGUUUAUCGGAGUUUGAUGAAACAGGAGGUAAUGGUUUUCAACGUCUUAUUAGAGAUGUUGGCGGCCACAAAGAAGAAGAAGAUGGUAUUCGACGUGUAAUCUUUUGCACUGGAAAGGUAUGAAUUUCCUCGAUAAUGUGAAUUUUUCCUGGGAUAAUGUCUUUGUAUGUCUAUAGCAUUCUCCCAAUGCUUGUGAUCCACUUAAUCAGAAUUUUUACUCCGAACUUUUCGAGCAUCAGUAUCUAGAAAAUCCUGAUAGCUACAACCAUAUUGUUUUAAUAAACAUAGUCAAAUUGACAAUUCUCAGCUAAUAUCUUUGAGUUUCUUAGGUGGAUCAGAUUCUAACAAUUGAUGAAACUUGUGGCGUCAGAUCUAUUAUGAACUCGACGAAGAAAGAGAAAGAGCUGCAGCGAAGGACGUUGCAAUAUGCAGAGUUGAGCAAAUAUGCCCUUUUCCCUUUGACCUCGUACUACGAGAACUCAAGCGAUAUCCUAGUAAGUACCAUGUACUCGUCUGUACAGUUUUCUUUUUCUUCUUGUAGGUUAUUUUUCAUUACAAAUUUUUAUUCAAACCACACACGCCCUGCACCUGAGUCUAAUUAUCAUGAUCCGGUGUAUUCUAUCACCAGAGGCUGAAAUUGUGUGGUGUCAAGAGGAGCCGAUGAACAUGGGUCCAUUUCUGUUCGUGUUUCCUCGUUUAGGAGCAGCCAUGAAAUCGGCGUGCAGGGGAAAACUUGAAGACAUCAAGUAUGCAGGGAGGCCUGCGUCUGCAUCACCCGCAACAGGAUUUGGCGAUCUUCACACUAAAGAGCAGAAAGGACUAGUUGAAAGGGCAAUUCAGAAAUCGCUCCUUGCUUUGAUAGAAUUAAACGGGUAGUAUUGGUCAUCGAGUCAAUGCAGCAGACAGAGUUGUGGAAUGAAUUAGUAAGUCUGUUUUGGUCAUCUCCAACUUUGAGGAUUAAUUCCCGUUGUUGCUACAUAGAGUUGCUUGUCUUGGUUGUCGUGGCCAAAUGCAAGCAAAGUUUUGAAAAGAGAUUUUAAAAAUGAACACCUCAACCUUCCCUUUCUUAACGACGGGAAUGGGGUUGGCUCAUCAAUGUCGUCAAAAGCGAGGUGGUAGUAGCACCUCUACCACUGGGGUUGGAUUGAUGCGUAAUCGUUGAGCUUGAAGGUGCAAUAAUAUUAACUGAGAAUUUCCAGGUUUAAACGGUUAUCAGAUAACGUGACAUGGCUGAGGGUGUUGGCCGUGCGACGAGAUAGUGGUGCAAAUCAUCGGAGCCUCGUGAGGACCCCAGUUGGUGAGGAAUGGGCUGGAAUCUUAAAGACUCUGGAGUCUUGGAACUUUGUGGUGACCCGCAAUAGCCCUCACAUGGCCCUCCCUGGAAGAACUUCUUGCCCCUCCCUGUGCCAGUUGUUGCAUCUCCCAUUGAGUCUCGAUUUACAAUCCAUUCCAGUGACUGUCUGGAGGCAUCUUCGUUUAUAUAGCUGCAGUGCGACCCAAUUUGCAGGUUUCAUAUUACUUUAAGGCUGCAAAUGUGGCCGACUCACAGCCUGGAUCAUGCAUGAUACGUCAUUCUGAUCACUUGGGAAAAAACUUAGCAAUUUGAGGUUCGUAAAGGCGACGUUGAUGAGGCUCUCCGGAGGCGUUAAGUUUAACGUAUGGUAUGUCCGGCCAGAGUUGCAUAUACACUCCUAUUCAAUACCUUGAUCGUAGCAUCACUCAUAAAUAGGUCUCGACUUGUUAUUCUGUGUGAAGAGAACGAAUGUGAAUGACUUUAAACCUUGAGAAUCGACCAUUUGGGAGAUUGUGGAUGCAUCCCAAUUCCAGCUCAAAAUCACAGCACUCGCGGCCACGUAGUCAUCAGCAUGUCGAGCAGAUUGACGAAGAAUAAGACUCUCCAGGUGAAUCUUCGAUAAUCUAUCUCACUCGGAAUAUUUGUGUAUAUUCUCGGAUUGACAAGCUGUGAACCUGCGCUGAUCAGGUUGUAAAUUUCUGAGUUAUUGAAAGUUGAUUAAGUUGACCUCCUUAAUUUUCUGUUGAUGUCCAUCGCCGUCCCUGCAAGUUAGAUAAAAAAAAAUCCUAGGAGGAAUAUCACAACUCCGUAGUUAUUAGGACUCUGCAACCAUUGCCUGGUUGUACAUGAAUCUCGAUCAUCUUCAAAUUUUUGUGUUUGAUGCACGAAGUGCUUGAGAGGUAGAUCAUCGAAAGGAUGGCAAUUUUGCAAGAUUCCUCGAAGAUUCCCCACUCCCAAUGCUAUUUACGUGUCUUGUCCCACAUCCUUUAACAAUUUUAGGAUUAAAGCACCGAAGUUUUAAAACCAUACCAUUACAGGCUUUCCAAUCAGAAGUACCAAUGUUGCCAGCGAAGGUUCCCUCCUGGUACAAGUACGAGGAAAAGGCCAUUUAGAGGAAUUUGAGAGUAGUAGAAACAACGCACCUUGUUCGGUACCCGUACCCAAUAAUGUGUAACGGAUAGUCCUUUACGUCCAUGGUUGAGAAAGAGACCAAAAGACAUUCUUCAACUUUAGUGGAAAACCAUCCUCACAAGUAGCAUCUCAGGACGAUCACAGCAAAGAACUGUUUCAUUCGUCUAUGAGAUUGCAUCACAAGCAAUACAACAACUAACUCAUCUACUCAUGAUCCUGAGGUUGUUAAUAGAUGUGAUAUGCAUUAGUGACAAGAGCCUCACAGGAGUAGGAGACUAGGGCUCACCCUCCGCAGACACUUUCACCAGGUGGCAAUCUCGUCAGUGGAUUUAUGACAGCCCAUUUCUUAUGAAACAAGAUGAAACACUUGCUUAUGUCGAGCCAUUGCAUGAACUGAAUUUUUGACUGUAAGAGGUCCUCAUAUAGGGUCCAAAUGAGUAUCCACUAGCUAGACCAUACGACACUUGAGCGGCUGAAAAUUUCUGCAAGAAGAAAGAUUCCUAACCAAUGAUGCAAAACCAACGGGAUCAAACUUUUCGGCAAGCAAAUUUAACAGGCUAUGAAUGCAAGAUAUCUGGGUUGCGACCCGCAACGCCUUUCUCCUUCGUUAAUUAUAUUCGUAACCCUUUUGUCCUAUUCCGCCAAUUGAUCAAUCAAGAUCACGAGUUGCAAACCUCGCGUUAUGCUUGUAAAAUCUGCUUCUAGAAAUCUACGUGUGGAAAGGUUGGACAUGAUUUGUCUCAUGUUGAAUUCGGCAUCACCAAUAUCCACAAUCAUACCCUAGAAUCAAACACCCAGUGCAUAAAAUCUCUUUGCUGAUUUGUUACAAUUUCUCGUUAUUGUUAACAUUAUCUUUUCUUUCUUCGAUAAACUGGAAAUUUCAAGUGAAAGAUGUGCUGAAGAGUUAACCCGCCUCCAACUUGUCAAUUGGUUCAUUAGCACCUAUAAUGAAAUCCACCAUACAUAGUGUUCUCCGUCGACUAUUCUACUCAGCAAUUAUGAGCGAUCUCAGAAGGUGCACCACUAGACAUUAUCUAUUUUUUUAAAACUUUACAGGUCGCCCUCGAAGUUCAGCUCCAUUUAAGAAGAGAAGUGCAAACUACGAGCGUCUGCCAGGUGGUAUUGGACGUCAGGUAAUAAAUAAGAAAUAGUGGAGAGGUUUAAGGAAGAAAUUCCUGAGAGACAUGUCAUUACACCAACAGGUUCGAGAUCUUAUUGGUUGGUGAUGGAGAAUAUCAUAUGAAGAAGCUUUCUUCUGCGAGGAAGUCCUUACCUCCCUUUGCAAAUGGGUCCCUAGAAGUUUGUGAGCCCACCACGUUGCACCCCUCCUCUUAAGAUUCCGACGGCCCAGUCCUCGACAAUUACCCCAUCAUCACUCACAUGCCAUCUCUCCUCCUCCGUGCAUUCAUUUCCGUAGUUUGUCGUCACUCUGAAUCCCUCUUUGGUCGUUAUUCUUCCUCCAGCUGGGAUUGUUUCAGGACCGCUGGAGUGAGAAUCCUUGGUUUCGGUCUCUUUUGGAUCCCGGUUUGUUUUGCGGGGUUGCAGAGUGUGUUAGUGAGUGAGUGCCUGCGUGAGUGAGUAAGGGAGGAGGUGCACAGACUGUAACGAGAUUUGCAUUCAUGGCUGUCGCGCAAGCCAUGUCCUCCUUUGACGCCGCUUUACAGCGCAAUGCUGUGAAUGUGGUCGCACGGGAUCCCCAUUUGCAUUCUGGGAAUCCUGUGCAGAGUGUGCUGAGGUACGGGGCGAGAAUUCGUUCGAGCUCAGCUCGAAAUGGGCGGAUUAGCAAGGACUUUGGGGGUGGUUUUGUGGCUCGCGAGGAACGGGUUGGAUCAAUUCUGGUGCACAGGACGAGGACCCAGCUUGCACCGAAAGCUUUGAGUGAGGAUGCCACUCCAGAGUUCUCGAAGGUGGUCUUACGGUUCUGCUUGUUCGGUGUUGUUGAAUCGAAUUCUGUUUUCUGUCUUCUUCUUCUUCUUCUUCUUCUUCUUCUUUUAUUUUUUAAAUUUUUUUUAGCUCUUCUUGCCUCGAGCUUUGCAAAUGUCAGGGUUAACUAGCUUGUGAGCAACUAACGGAACCAUGUUGAGCUCUUCUUCCAGGGAGGGGACGAGGAGGCUUUGCCUACCAGCGAUUACAAGCGAUGGGACGCAGUCACGGCACGCGUUGCUGAAUCUGCAACGGUGGCAUUCCUGCUUCUGCAACUGCCCCAAAUUGUCCUCAACACGCAGAAUCUCAUGUCGGGGAACCUCGUUGCCCUCACUGCCAUACCCUGGAUGGUAUGCACAUAGUUUCGCAUGCUUUUCUUUCUUGAUAGUUUCCGACACAAAUAAUGUACUGUGGAUGUUGCGCAUAAAUUGGUCCAUCUGGUGAACAGCUCUGGUACUCUGUGGUUGAAUGCAGGGCCAGUUGACAGGACUUCUUGGAAACUUGUCGCUUCUCUCGUACUUCGCAGGAAAGAGAGAGCGGGGCGCAACAAUUGUGCAAGCUGUGGGUGUGGUUUCCACUGGGGUUGUGCUGUCGCAGCUGGCAAUUGGAAAGGCAAUGCCCUUCCCAAUUUAUGUUGCAACAGCUUCCGUGGUGAUUAUUGGCCUUCUUCUUAACUGGCUGAGCUACUUCAACAAGCUUAGCCCUAGCCUCUGGCAGCUAUGGGGCGAUGCCGUCACCGUCGGUGGGCUUACGGUGCUUCCGCAGGUGUGCUGCGGAAUACCGUUUCGCUGCUAAUGAUUUCUAUUCUCCAUCAUCUUAACGUUUUGCCGCCAUUGCCGUAUGGAUUUUUCAUUUGUAGUGACAGUAAAUUUCGUGUCUCCAACUGAAGAAAACCUACUCGGCUUAAUUAAGUCGGACGUAUCGGCAGAGAUUUUCUUCGUUUAGGUUUCGAUUAUCUUCAGUUUCUCAACAAAUGUACAUGCUUAUCAAGGUUGUCAAAUGCAGUGCAGAUUAGAAAUUAAUGUUUUAUCAGACUUGCAAAUUUUCCAUCUGAUUGCCGAACUGACUUCUUGUCAGGUCAUGUGGUCAACAUUUGUGCCAUUCAUUCCGGCCUCCAUCCUCCCAGGCACCGUUUUUGGCGCGCUUGCUUUGCUACUGGCCAUUCUGGUAUACAUCAUUUUAAUUGGCUCUGUCUUCAGUCAUUAUGGGUAGAUUCGUGAUAACAGCUACCUUUAUAGUCUGUCCUCUAUUAACAGUUGUUAUGACAUGGUACGACAGGCUCGGCUCAACAAGCUGCCACCAUCUGCUUUAAAAUUCUACACAGGACUCUCGGCAUGGACAGCAACUCUUCUCUUUAUGUGGGGUCCUGUAGCGCAGGCGGUAUGUGCUUAAGGCACAAUUUUCUAGGCUGAGAAUUGAAACUGCUUUUUCCUUGUUAUUUAGCUCAUUUUUUUGGAGAAACGAUCUCACGCACUGAAUGUUUAACUUGUUGACCUUGUUGGACAGUGGUCGAAUUAUUUGAAUCCUUCCAACAUCAAGGGCUUGUCAGUCCUCACCAUCUUGCUCGCCAUGGCCGGCAAUGGUCUGCUACUGCCACGUGCUCUAUUCACCCGCGACCUGAUGUGGUAAGAUUUUGCAAUAGUGAUAAUUGAGCUGUAGUUAAGCGUUCGACAUCUGCUUGUGCAUUAUAUUCUCAUUUUUGGAGUAAGUGGUCUAUCGACAGCAGAGCGCUGUAUUUGAGAUACUUGAACAAUAUUGUGUCAGAGAUGCUUAUUUGUAUUCUGGUGUGAAUACAGGUUCACAGGAUCGUCUUGGGGUACUCUGCUACAGGGUUGGGGAAUCCUUGUCACUAUGUUUGUGUAAGCAGUUCGCGACCAUUUUUCUUUUGUAUCCACCUUGUGCGCUAAUGCAUGGCUUGUAUGUUAGCCUAUCCGACUGAAUGAAGGGAUGUUCAUUCUCCAUACACACCCAAACAUUAAUUUCUCUACUUUCUAACUUGACUCGGGAUUUUACGACUUGGUGCCAGUUCACAAACCCCCGACAGAUCAAUCUUACAUGAUAGGGUGUUGAACAUUGGUGUGGUUUUAAUAAAAUCAUUUCGCCUAGUGGAUUCUCUGACGUAACUGUUGUCUGAUUUGAUGUUGCAGGUUUCAAGUUAUCAAUGAGGUAUAUUUCUACGGAGUCAGCGCUGUACUUGCGGUUUGGCUAGGUAAUAUAUCCUUCACCUCUUCAGAUGCAUGUGCCGCUGCCUCACCUUCGUUUGAGCAAAAACAAAAUUGUCGUGUCUAUAAUCUAAGUGAAAUAGAACACAAUUGAUAAGUUAGAUCACAUGAAGGGCAUAUACCUGACAUUCUCGUCUAUAUUUAUGCAGGCUGGAUGUUUGUUAAUGAUGCCAAAGCUUACUCGCUGCGGUCUCCCGUCGCGCCAUUGAUUGAACUGGUCACUGGAAGUAGGUCUGCGUAAUGUAAAAUCGACAAGUGUCUUACUCCUUCUCACUGCUUAUGUCACAUAUCUUGUGUUAGCGGUAACCUGCCCAGGUAACUGUAAAAUAGCGAGAGCGUCGUGCAGGACGAAUAGGCUUGCUGAAACUUGCACAAAUCCUCGCUCUUUGAGCCAGCAGAGUGAUGUCUUCACUUUUAGUGUAUGCCUAGACCUGUUAAUCUCGACCAAAACUGUUUAUUCAUUAUUCUAGAAGUCAACUACGGAUGCAAUGUGAGGAAGACGAAGUUUUCUAGAAGCCAGAUUGUAUGGUUAAAAUUGAUGCUUCUGGAUAUCCUCUUUGGAAGGUCCACUUUUGUGCAUAUCAAGUUUAUUCUUUGCUACCUCUCUCUCUUCCCCAUUCUGUUUUAUAAAAUCGUUUUGUCCUCUUUGCCUCUCUACCUUAGUUCCUUGACACUGCAUUCACAAGGAUUUCUGGAGGCUGAGGUAAGCAGUUAUGUUCACCCUGCCCUUAGUGAUUCAGAUUUUGAACUUCACUGAUCAACGAAAUCUUCUGUUGUACGACCUCUUUACAACAAUCUACCCUACGGACCAGGAACGCAGAAUAAUGAAAGAAAAAGCGCAUUUCACAGUGAUGAGGUUUUCACCAAACUGCUUGACCUGAUUAGAGCCAUUCUAUUCAUGUUUCCUUUUUAAUUACCUGACUUGAUCUGGAAGGUCUUGCACUAAGAACAAAAUAGAAAUAAGAACUAAUAACAUUGACAACCAGCCUCAGAUGUGUCACUGCAAAUAUCCAAAACAGAUUGCAGUGUCAAAGCAUCCCACAAAAGUAGGAAAAAGGAUGUGUUUGAUCAUAUUAUAAACUACACAUACAUGCACACACUACUUGUACCAAUAAGUGAAGUAAAUUAUGUGUUCGUGUUUUCUUUGCUACAUGUGAUGACAUGGAUGAAAAUUACUAACAAUAUAUGGAAGUCAAAGAGUAAUGAAUCUCACAGAAUGCCAUCAUAUCGUUUUUGGAAAACCAGGCGCUCUACUUUCGAAGUGUUUGAAAUUCAUUGUAACUCUUAAAGUGGGUGGUCACAUUCAGGAGACAAAGUGCGAGGCUGCAGCUGCUAUAUCUUUUGAUUGGCUGAAACUAGGAAGCCAACCACAAGAUUUGAAAUUGGUGACCUGUCACCUUCACCACUAAUUGUAAAGACUCCCUAACAUUAUGCCUUAGUGAAUUCAGUUCUUAGAUUUUGAUUCUUGUGCAUGUAAUGCCAGAAAGUGCAUACAUGAUUUACACACAUGAAAUCCAAGAACUUUCUCUGUAUUGAACUUUAAGUUGAAAAAGAAAUAAAUGCCCAGGGGAUUGUAAACGUACACAUAUUUAUAAAUAAAGAAUGGAAAAGAAAACGAAGGUUAUUUUAUUUCAAAAGUGAUUACAAACUCGCAGUUAUUUAUUUUUUUCAUACAGAAAAUGAUAGAAAUUAUUCUAUGUCAUCCAUAUCUAUAUAUUUAACCUCAUGCUGCAAAAUCUGAUGAAUCAAACAGGAAAUGUUUUAGGUCAGUUCAGCUUAUUAGAAACAAAAAAUAAGAAAACAGCACACCUCCUCCAGGGUUACGAAAUGGUCUGUGGGUAGAUCACUCCUGGGUUUUUCUUUCUUUCUAUUUAUUUUAUUUUCGUUUCCUGGAACUGUUUCGAACGCUCUAAAUUUGCAGGGUAACAGGAUGUUUACUCUGUGGCUGUGGAUAACAAGUCAACACGGUGUCUGGGUCUCUAUGUGUGUGUGUACAGUGUGUGUACAGUGGAUGACUAGGAAAAGUAUGUAUGUUUAGUUCCUGAUUUUUACAUAGUGACUCAGCCCAGAUUGUGGAGGCACACGCGGUGGUGUUCAAAGGAGGUCGAGGAGUGAGUGUGCCUCACCUAAGCAGAUGAUCCGUAUGAGAGCAGGUGAGGCUCAUCACUGCACAUUCUUCAUAGCUUUCAUUGUUUGGCAGCGUACUGGAGCGAUGUAGCAUAUAUUUUGUUCCGUGAGGAAGCCUUCACUAAUGUGGGUGUUGCCCCUUCGACCUCUUCCCUCUUUGUUAAAUCUAUAGUCUCUCGUGGUGCAGAGGAUUGUGCUAUGUCUGUAGGGGUAGUAAGUUGAGCUUCGACUGGGAUUGGGGUGAAGGGAAUCGACCGACUCUUUUGAUUCACCUGGGUCUUUUUACAUGCGAUUUAAUGCUCUGGAAAGGAAGUUAGGGCAAGGGUUGAUAGUGGGCUGCUACAGCGAGGACGCGAAGUGAUCCUCAGGGUUGUGACCCAACCGCGAUGGAGUGAAGUUUCAAGGACUGGGUUUGGCUUACGUGUGUAAUCCGACUUAUUCAGUCGGUAGCUGGAUCAUGAAGCAAUUUAUUUAGGACUGGCGAGAGCACAUGUAGCGCGGAUGAUCCCUUCUAGAAAAGGGUUAGGUCAUUGAAGACACCAAGAUUCUCGUGGGCUCCUUGAAGAUAUGUCCUUGUUGUAGUGCGUAGGUAUACCGAGAUGCGGGUAGAGGGUCAGGUGGGGGCAGAGAGGAUGAGUUGUGCGUGGGUGCAUUGACAUGCUGCAGCGAUUCAAAGCCAAGGUACAAUGUUACAAGACCUGAUUGGAUAUUAUUGUCAGUAUUCUUAGUAUGAUUGUUUUGAUGAUGAUGUCGAUGGCGAUGGUGUGAAAGGGUUGUUUACUUGAGGAGGAAAACUCUCUAAUGUGUGCUUGAACAUUGCAUCUCAUCGGACAAGCGCUUUGGUUAGUAUGUUUCCAGUACGAAGGAGUUAUAGUUCUAAUUCUGCAGUAACCUAAUCUGGGAGCUGUAGUCAUGUUUUGGAAGCUAUAGUGGGGGUUCUGGUUCAUUGGGUAGUUUUGUUUUGUGUGCUUUUAUAUCUUUAACUUUGUUUUUGGAGAUGCUGGUUGAGAAGCAUUUUACGUCACACCCAUACGCCCUACUCUAGGGAGUUCUGAUGUUUAAAAUGAACGUAUGUUGACGAAACUAUCAUUUUAAAAUUUUAAAAUUUUCGUGCUACAGAUGGUGUUAUUUUUGGAGACACUGGUUUUGGAGGAAGGCAAUAAAGGUGACGAUAUGCAACGUCUUAGGGUGCAGUGAGUCAUGGUCCUUGCUGUGUUUUAGGGAUGAAAACAAAGGUAGAUAUCUUUACAAGGACAAUGGAGACUAAAAUGUAUCCCUUUAAGAGAAACCAUAGCUCUGCAGGUCGAGCUAUGUCAUCCCUUGUCCUUGCAGUUCUGCUUUUGCUAGCAUUUCAGUUCGCAAUAUGUCUAGUUCAGGGAGAGACCCUACAAAAUAUUCAGCAGAUUGGGACAUUAGAGGCCCAAGUAGCACAUGCGGCAACCAUUACCCAUAACAUAUAUAAUUCAGGAGAUCAAUUGGUCCCAGAGUCUACUAAAAGUGUUCCGGUUUCCACAGUAGCAUGGCUCACACUGGCCAUGGCCGUUGCAACUGGAUUAGGCGCCGUGCCCUUCUUCUUCGUGCAGCUGGAGCCUCGAUGGGGAGGUAUAUGCAACGGCGUUGCUUCAGGCGUGAUGCUCGCAGCAAGCUUCGAUCUCAUUCAAGAGGGUCAAAAGUUUGGAGGAGGUAGUUGGGUUGUUAUCGGCAUUCUGGCUGGCGGACUGUUCAUUCUUCUCAGUCAGAAACUUGUGCACGAUAAUUUUGGAGAAGUCAGCAUGCUGGAUGUGAAGGGCGCGGACGUUCCCAAAAUGAUAUUAGUGGUCUCAAUCAUGACCCUGCAUUCGUUUGGGGAAGGUUCUGGAGUAGGGGUAUCUUUCGCAGGCCCAAAGGGAUUUUCUCAGGGCUUGAUGGUUACGAUUGCCAUAGCGGUUCAUAACAUUCCGGAGGGAUUAGCUGUAAGUUUGCUCCUUUCAAGCCAAGGAUUAUCAGCGAAGCAAUCCAUGCUAUGGAGUAUCUUCACAUCCCUACCACAGCCGUUAGUAGCCGUUCCUGCAUUUAUGUGUGCUGAAGCAUUUCGCCAAUUUCUGCCUUUCUGUAUGGGCUUCGCCGGGGGCUGCAUGAUAUGGAUGGUAAUGGCAGAAGUUAUGCCUGACAGUAUUAAAGAUGCAGGGAAGGCGGAGGUAGCAACGGCUGCCACCCUUGCCGUGACUUUCAUGGAGGCUCUAAGUGCGUUGCUGGAAAACCCGGAGGGAGGCUCUGGUAUGAGGAAUGUUAAUAUGCUAUUAGCUUAUCUUAGCUUUGGAAUUGGUCCCUUCGUCGGGGCUUUGAUACACAUGCUACUUCUGAGCUCCAUCAAGCUGCCACUGGCUAUGGCUACUGGAAUUGGGGGAGGUGUUGCCUUCGUGGUAGCGACAUGGAAACCCUUGCAAUUUCUAUUGAAAGGCAAGCUGAAUAUCCUUUAUGUCUUCCUACUUCUAUUUUGUGGAGCAUUCUCUCACUUUGUGCUUCGAAAGCGCAUGGAAUCUAGAGCCAAGUCACGCAAAACAGAGACAGUGGCUCUGUGCUCUGGGAACCCACUUAACCCUGUAGCAAGGAAAGCUUUCUUGGCCUCAUUUAUGAUUUGGUUUUAUUCCUUUGCCGAGGGACUGGCUAUGGGUGUUGCUGCUACGAGAGGAUACAGCCUCUACUUAGUAUUUCCUGUAAUGCUUCACGGAUUGCCAAGUGGAGUUGGUGUGGGUAGUAUCGUAUAUGGAGCUACAGGUAGCAAAAAGGUGUCGUUUUUAGCAGCUGUUCUCUCUUGUUUGGCCGGUCCUAUGGGAGGCAUCUGUGCAGCACUUACUGGAAUUGGUCCAAACGGGCUUGAAAGCUUGAUUGUGGUGGCAUGUGGUAGUCUUUACCCAAUUUUUACCGGCGUCCUUUUUCGGCGAGCGCUGAGUGUCGACCCAAAGAGCACUUAUUUCGGCGUUUUGAUGGGUAUAGUGUUCACCGUGAUAUCUUUGACAACCACACGGCUUGUAUGCCUAUAUACGCCUUACUGUGGCACUUCUCUUUAGCUGUAAAAAGAUUCAAAUUAUUAAUCUAUAUUUUAUUCUUAGGUUAUUCAGGAGCAACUUGUGACGAUUUCGCUCUCUAUGCUGCUUUUAGAUGCUUCCCGCAUGAUUACUAAGAUAGUCGUGUUUCAGGGACUUCGGUCAAAUUGUACCAUGAUUCUAGGAACUCUGCAAAAUUUUAUGAUCACCGUUUAACAUUAUCCUGAAAAAAUGACGGAUCUUUUGAAAAUUAAUGACUUAAGUGGAAAAUUGAUAUUUGAACCAAGACCUAGCAUCACAUUGAAGCACUUCACAUUUUGUGAUUCCAAUGUGUCUACGUGUAUUCUUCGCGGAAGUCUUUUGGGAAUUUAUCAACUUUUUUAUCUUAUUUUACAUGUAUCGUCACACCAUGUUACUUCUGAACAAUGUUAUCUGCGUCCAGAACGAGGUUUUAGGAAAUCGGAAUCAUCCGAUGUCGCUUAUUCUGAAAAUUGAAUCUCUGGCUGUAUUCUAUAAUCGCAAAAUAUGGAGACUAAUGGCACUGUGGUUUCAUAUGUGCACCUGUGGGUUGCGUGUAUUACCGCUGUCGACAACAGAAUCAGGAUCAUUGUAUGUCUUGUGAAUGUUUGCAGUAGAAUGCUAGAGUUUGAGGUGGUACCUUAAUCGGGCGAAGAAGCACAAUUUAGGCAGCAGCGAUGAGAAAGUAUAAGAGACGAGGGCAUCCGCAAGUACGUACAAGGAAUGGGUCGACGAAUAUUGACGUCGUUGCGGUUAUGGCAUUAGCGAUUUUUGCGGGUUCAGGGGACCACUAUGAAGCUGAAGUGGAAGUGGUAAGUAUUAUCAUUCCUCAAUCAGUAACUUAAAUGUUUGAAGAAUGUUAUUGUUAGCUUUUCAUGAAGUUGGGAUCUCCCUUAAUAUCUUGUGCAUCCAGCUACGUAACAUUUUGUGACAGUUACUUUCUGAGUUGGCUUUUGCAUCCUCCCAAGCGCGACAUAGCUGUGAUAUCCCAAUCAGGUCGCUGCGAGUGUUAGAGCCCAUGGCCCUUGCUUCAGUUAUCUUUGAUAUGUUCGUGCACUUCAAGAAUGUAAUGUUCUCCCUCUUCUGAUUUAUUCUCUGAUCCUUGUUUCUCUGAUGAAUGCGAAGGUGGCCUGGCCACAUGUAUCUAAACCAACUUGUAGAUAAAUCGGGGACAGUUUCGGAGCACGUGGAUUAUUCCACAGCUGCUGCGGCGGUUUUUACUAAUUUUCUUCCAUGAAUCGAGAUCAGGGAUAUUCAUCACUAGUUGAUGACUAGAUAUCAAUUGUAGUGGUAGAAACUAUGGUAGUUUAAUGGGACUAUUUGAUUUUGUAAUGUCAGUAAUGCUUCAUAUAGAGGCGAUUAAGGGUUGACAUUCGAAGCGAUGCAAGUGAAGGUAAAGACUUGAAUUAACUGGAAGGUCAGUGGUCAUGAAACAUUUUGCUGAAGAGCUUUGAAAUCAAAGCGGGUUUCCGUCAGAAUGAAAAUGUGGCCGACUACUGUCGCCAGAAUGUAACGGUUAGUGAAUCGGUAUUUUAAUGGUGUCGAAUGGAGUCAAAUGAUAUCUUUUUCGAGGCAUGGCUAUUUUGGAUUUUGAGGCUCUGAAGAAGACGUGCCACGGAGUCAGUUUUCUUGUGUUUGGUUAGAACCUUGAAUACAUAUAUUCCUGUAAGGUGCGUUAGAGUUUUGUUGCAAACUUCAGUAUACUGCUACAAAUUGCAUCGAAGAAGUUGUCAAGAAGGAACAUUGCAAGGAGGACAUGGGAACGCUUCCGAAUAGUGUGGUGGCUGCCUUACCAAAGGACCUUGACGCGCAAUUGGAAGUCGCGCAGCAGAUCACCCAAUUUGCUGUUUUUGGUCGUGUUAGAAAGCUCGAAGAAGAGGCUUUAAGUUUAAGAUCAAAGAUAUCCGAGAAAGAUGCGGUCAUUGGAAGUCUUCAGGCACGUGUUAUUGGAGCAGAGAACACUUUUACAGAAACUACGGCCAAACUGACUAAUGCUAUGGAGGCGCAGGUGUGCUCACAACAUUUCCUAACUCUAAUUUGCACCCACCCUCUUCUAUAUGUCGUCUGGUCCCCUAAAAAAAUUCGUUUGAAGUGAUACAUUUGGUUCCAGUCAAUUUCUCUAUUGGUAACUACUGUUAUAAUCGCUCUUAUAGGUCUUAUUUUUCUAUCAUGCGACAUACAUAAAGCUUCAAACUAAUUUGGAAUUUAAGAUUUUCACGCGACCAAUUGAUGUUUUGAAUUUUCUUUCUGUUGAGGUUUAUUCUUGAUGCAUUGGGUUGCAUGCAGGCAAAAUUGAUCGAAGACAAGGAUGUCCUCUCAGCUCAAGUAAUGAAGUUGAUGUGUCAAGUUUCGAAGGUAAGAGAAGCUGCUUUAGAGAAGGAAACUAUAGAAAUUAAGAUUGCGUUUGAUAUUCAGCUGUUGUAAAGAUGAUAAAUAGCAAAAGAGAACAUGCGAACUACAACAAAUUUUUAUAUAAUUAUGUGAUUUUGUGGUCUGGAGUUUUACCCCACGAUGGCUGUUUUGGUUCUAAUCGUUGGUUUCUAACUGGGCACUUUCGUCCAAAGACCUUACCGUAAUCGGCUAAAAGUAGUCUCAUAUAAUGAGGAAUCUUCUGGUUUCACUGAUAUUAAUAUUUUCUCCGUUGGAUUUGUUUCUCAGUUGGACGAGUUCAGGAAGGCGUUGACGAAAUCACUUGAGUCAAGCACAGAAUGUGGUGACCCGGCAAGAGUCAUUACCCAGUUUCUCAUACGAUGUCAGGCCUGAGCUUGCGCAGUCUCUCUCUCAAAGUCUCAAAAUGACUGCAUCGACCUUCAUAGCAUACUCAGUUAUUCCUAUUUCUGCUACUGUAGUAUUACAACCUCACAGUAAGAUGUAUUCCAUGUGCAUGCAAGGGCAUUAACCAUCAGUAUGCUCUGUGUACACACUCCGGUCCAAAGUUUGUAUCUGGGACACGAAUAUUAAACUUGCAGUAUUGGUGAGGCUUUAUUGAAGUCAACAAAGGUGAUAUCUUGAUAAAUGUGCUUGCUGACUCCAGGUUGAAGAAAAGAAAAGACCUUGUCCACCAGAAUCAUCUGGUGAAGUGCUAAAGACCACACCCAUUUCGUCGGGAAGGAAAAGUAAGACUUCUACCUCAGCUGAUUGAUCAGCAUGUUUCGCGUUCACGUAAGCAAGAACACUUCGACUUCUUUUUUACUGAAGCGCACGCUCCUCGUUUAGAAUCAAUCACAUAUCAAAUUCUACUUUCCAGUAUAUUAGAAGUCAGAAUUUCCUGUUGAAUAGUUCAUCAAGCCCGUGAAUUGAAGCAUUGUUCAACACAACGGCAUCGUUUACUCAAAGUAUGGUGCUAUAAGCUCUGCACCAGACGAGCUUUCAUAACCGGAAAUGCUCUUAGUAUGUAAAUCGUAUAUAUUUUCGAAAUACAGCCACAUGAUGUUGCCUUCGCAGUAUAGGAAACACACUCCUCCUAGAUGAGAAGGUAUCCUUACGCACUUGACCUCAAGGUGUCAGUAUGAUCUUCAGGGUAUCGCUUUUUUGAACAUCUGGAAACUCGGAAUAAUGGUUGCAACUCCAUGUUGACUCUUUUUUAUCUCUUUAGUUCUCGGAGGUGAUAUCUGCUCAUGACGCAUGUUCAAGAUCCAGGUGCAAUUCAAUAACACUAUUUUGAACUUUGAGUCAACAGUGAAUUCUAACAGUGAUAGUGAUCACUCAUUUGUAGAUGCUGGAGCAUUUUCAUGCAAGAAGAUAAUAUGCCCCGAGUGUCCUGAAGCUUCUCCCUCAUCAAUUCCCGUUGAAGUAGCUGUGGGUCCUGACGAGGGUCCGGCAGAAAGUAUGGUCAUACUCCACUACCAUCAUCGAAAUUCAUUUAAUUCACGCAUAGAAGUAUUUUUCGUGUCAAGAAAUCCUGCAUUAUUUGUGUAGUGCUACACCUCAACCUCUGCUGUUUCACUUCUAAAAAUGCGUGUGCAUAACAGUGAAACGAAGUAAUACAUCUGUAAAUGUAUCGUAUUGUCAUUUUUUUUUUCAUUUACAGGCAGAUAUAAUCAGUUUGUAUAUUCAAAAGUAAUUGAUCCUCUGGUCGCUCGUGCACCAUCAGACAGUUCAUGUCUUUCAGGUAGAGGAUUGGAAAAUUACAUUUUUCUGUGGAUCUUGUUGGCUUUUUGGAAUCACUAAAAAAAAUUUGCUUAUUUGACAAACCAAGUUUAUACCUACCAACAAAACCCAUUUAAUGAAAUGAACUUGAUGUUUUGAUACAGCAAAAUCGCCAAAGUUUGAUGGCAAAGAGUUUUUUCGACUAGUCAGGUGCGGAACCACUCCUACCAAUAAUAGAACCUUGUCAAUUGCUAACACUCCCUUCAUUCAUUGAUGGGAGUGUAUAAGACCUUAUUAUAUUUUAUUUGUUGUAAAGUAAUAUGUUUUGAUUUUUUUUAUAUCAACUUUUAAUGGAAUGAUGCAAUUUAUCGGAUUAGAGCUUGGAAAAUUGCCUUUUUAUUUUUAAAAAAUUGAUAUAAUUAAAUUUAUAAACUUUAGGAACCGGUUGUCACAUGAGCAAUUUAAUGAGUUCUUGAUACAAAUUAAAGAAUUAAAUGCACAUCACCAAUCAAGAGAGGUGAAAUUACUUUGUGCUUUUUGAAGUUUUAGUAUUGGUGUAUGUUUUUUUUAAUUGAUAAAUAUAAUAAUUUAUGACCUCUCUUUAAAAAACUCUUAAAUAUUUGACAUUUUUAUCUUAAAUUCGUUAUCUUGAAGCAAGAUUGAGUAUAAUUUUUAAAGAAUAUAAUGCAGGAGACAAUAAAGAAGUCUAAUGAAUUAUUUGAUCCAAAUAACUUUGAUCUUAGUGAAAAAUUUGCACAACUUCUUUCUCAAUAUAUUACUCCUCUUCUACUAUCAUCUAAACUAUCAUCAAAUCUCUUUUAAACUUAAGAUGGUCUCUUAAAAAUUUAGAAUCCAUAUUUAUAAUAAAAAAUAAAUCUAUUAAUAAUAAUAUAUAUUAUAGAAAAAAAUAUAAAAAUAAUCAAACUUACAUGAUAUUGUGCUUAAUUAAAUUAACUAUGUAACAUUUUUAAGAAUUAAAUUGUUAAAAUAAAAUAUUAUAACCUUCUUGAAAUUUGUUAUGUUGUUGCAUUGCAUUGAAUAGAUGUUCUUGGCAGGAUUAGAAAUUUUUUCUUGGUAGAUUUCAUCCAAAGAAUUCAAAUUGCAAUAACCAUGUACCACCACAUUGCAAGGAUUAAGUUUUAAAAAUUACAUAAUUGUAAUUUAUGUUUUAAUUUUACUUUUAUUUUAUAUUGUAAUUUUGCAAAAUUAUUAAAAUAUAUAUAUAUAUAUAUAUAUAUAUAUUAAAGUUUCUCUUAUUACAAAGGAUUUAAAUACAUUCUUCAUAUUAUUAAUUUUUUAAUUAUUUGAUUAUUUAUAAUAUGUAAUGAAUAAAAAAUAUAUUUACUAAAUAUGUAUAUUAAUUUUUUAUUUUGGUAAUAAUUCCACUUUAUUAAAUAAUAAAAAAUAAAAAUGAAUGAAUGUUUUAUCUUAAAUGUAAAAUUUAGAAGAUAAGUAUUUAAUAAAAUAUUAUUUUUAUCCAAAACAAAAUCUAAUUGGUAAAUUUUUUAUUCAUAUUUAGGUACAAGCUUAAGUAUGUGAUUAUUCAAUGGUGAAAGCUUUGAGAGAUAUACCUCAAAAAUUCUAGUAUAUACAGUUAAUGAAUUAUUUUGUAUUUAAUUAUAAUAAUGCGUAAAGCACAUGUCUUUACAAAAACCACAAUUAAUUAAGGAGCUAGAUGCAUCCAUGCAUUUACUCAAUAUCUAUAAGUUGAGGUGACACCGUGCUGAAAUAUUCAAUCAAACCAAAUUGUGAAUCCAACAUGAGUGUUGCCUUUUGAGAUCUUGGAAGAGAUUACAACUAAAUAAUGGGUUGAAUAUUGUGCAUUGUGUCAUGGUAUUGAAGGCAAUAGUACUGCUGAAGAGGCCCAUGUACUUCCCAAGUCAGUUUUUUUUUCUUCUUCGUUUUAAUAUAUUUCCAUUAAUAACUUCUCAAGCCAGUUUUAAUAUCCUAAAUUUUUGAAGAGGACUGGAUUUAUUACCAGGUUUAUUGCACAUGUUACAUAUUCAUUUGUGAUGAAUGUGUAACAUAUUAACAUUUAUUGCACAUGCUAACAUAAGAUUAAAGUACAACUUUUCCAACUACGUUAACAUUGUUCAACUUCACAAAUGGCAGAAUUAUAUACUCACUGUGAAAGCCUGCCAAGUGCUUGUCUCUAGAUUGAUUGAAAUGAGAUCUUGCCUUUCAGUUUGUAUGGAUGUUCACUUGCCUGGUUAAUGCUUGCUCUUGUUCUUUCUUUCUCUUUCUCCAUUUCAUAGCAUUUGUCAAGCUCGGGUCAAGCACUCUUCAGCCUGAUGACCAAGUAGUCUAGCUACACAUCUAAAAUUCAGGAUUUUAGGGCUACAAUAAAUACCAACCAAUAUGUACAUUGUUAAACCAGGGUGCGAACAUCAUCCAGUUUAUAUUGAAAUCUUUUACUGUAUAAAUUUCAUGAGCAAACAUGACACCCUCUUUUCAGAUCGGUUUGAUUUGCCAUAUCUAAAGCUUUGCUUAAUCUAAUAUCAAAUAAUAGUGCUUGGUCUCCAAUAUUUGCAAUUUUAGGAUGACAUGCGGAAAGAGUACAUGAGUUGGAGGUGAAAUGUGAAGUAUAGAGGUUUUAUGUGGACGUUUUGUCACCAAACUACAGUCUAAAUUGAUUCCCAUGUGUGGCAUUAAGGAUACUGUUAGUAUUGCAAUGCAAACUACCUUCAAGUGGGCUACUUGGUAGUAAGUACCAGUUCACAAUAAUACAAGCACCAACUCUAUCAUCAGUGUAGACUGUUCACAGUUCCAUUGUCAAAGACAGGAGGAAACGAGCUGCAACGAAGCAAACUUUAUAUACAUACACAGAUUCCACACGCAAGUAUGGUUGACCAACUGCUGAUCAUGUAGAUUCAUUGAGCAGGCAUAUCCUUCACAACCUGAUCUGUGAGAAUGAAUGUGGGCAUUGAAGUUACUUAUUGCCAAGUUUGAAGAGAAGUAGGUUGUAGGAGUUACGGUUGGCAGGAUGAUGGAGAGAGACCUUCCUGGGGCGUCCAAGUUUUGAGGUGCUGCAAUGCAGGCUGUCAUUUGCUAUCAAAAGCGGUACUUGCGGAAAUCAGCAGGAUGUACGCAGAAAAUAAAUGAAGAUGUAGGAACUUUCUACUCUUGAGAUGAGUUUUUAUUGCAGUGUGUUGUACCACCGACGUGAGAGAUUAUGUCGUACGUGAUUUUGCAUACAAUAAAGAGAAUUGCAGCACUCAGUUGAAGGCGAAAGGCAAGUUCAACUCAAGAGAAUUACUUAUCCGGAUGUUGUUAGCAAUGUAACGUUAGCUAAACCCUUUUCUGAAUUUGGAGCAUGUUUAACUAAAAUGACCUCAUUCAAAAAUAUAUCGUAGUUGCAAUUACACACAAGUCAGUGAUUGCUGCGAACACACAAAUACUGCAAAUGCAGUGAAGUUGUGAUGUACCAGUGAUGUUAAAGCGAUGAAUUUCCACCGAGUGUGCUCCUUCAGAAUUUUUGAGAUUUAGGUACAGCUAUUGUACAUUACGUUUACGGUAUCUAUAUAUGACUUGUUUUGCAGAACAUAGGUGCUCUUCAAUUGGUGAAGGGUUGUGAACUGAGGUGGCCCACCUCAGUUCACAACCCUUCAAGGAGCUUUACAUUCAAUAAGCACAGCAAGAACAGAAGUUGAAAUUCACGGGUUGGUAAAGCAUGGCCUGCUAAAGCGAUUUUCAAUUCGUCGCUCUACCAUGAAUCAGAAUCUCAAAGUUUUUUCCAAUCAUGCAGUAUUUCCAAAUUGGUAAAUUACAUCUGGAUCAUACGUGAUCGUGAAAUAAGUUUAUUUGAGAAACUUGUAGAAGCAGAGUUCAACGCAGUCUUCGUGACGUCUCUUGUGGCUGUGGAGUAUUCAAACCAAAGCAACACAUCCGACUUAGUAGCGUUUGGUUAUGCCCAAAAUAGUGACCAUGCUUGUCUUUCCAUCACAAUCUAUUAUUUACAUGACUCUAAAUAAAACUCACAAAGGCUCUAAAUGUUCAGAAAAAGUGCAGCCACAGCCGUGAAUUUGUUCCAAGUGAAAUGGUUCAAAAGCUAUUCAGAUUGCCUCAAAAAACAUAUGUACAUCGCUGGAGAGAGCUGUGGUUGUAUUGCCGCACCCCACACUCGCGAAGUCUGUUAACUUUUUAUUUUUUGAAACGCCAAGGCAGUGUCUUAAAUCCAUACAUCCAUGCAGUUACCAAAAUUUCUGGCAUUUUGCUUGUAUCUCAUUACUGAAAUCCUUGAUUUUUAGGACAAUAUGUUUCAAAACGGUACAGCAAAUAGUACAACAUAACAACCCUGAACUUCAUGUUCUGAAUCUUAAAAGCCUUUUAAGUACGUCCACCAUCCUUGCAACUAAUCAAUUUCAUGUGCACAUUGAAGUAUACUGGAUCGACUUCAACAACUUUGAGAUGAUAGUUUCUUGAUUACACUGACUCCAACAACGAAUCAUAUACUUCAGGUAAGGAAGACCUGGACAGAUGCAAUAUUGGACAACAGGGUCUCUACUGAUUGCUCCUACACGCAUUUCUUUCAUCUCAGACGAAAAUUACCAAGGUAUUCUAGAGAACUGUGCAUAUGCUUACGGAUUUCUAACGUAACUACCUUGUGUAACGAAGCAACGCAGGCGCUGUACACUGGACCUGGUCGGGUUGAAUAUCAACAACAUUUACGACCUUUCCUGCAACCCCUCUCGUAACGUCUUCAGCUGAGUAUAUCAACUAAGUGAUCUCAAAUUCAAAGCUAGUUUGGCAUGAAUUCGUACCUGUGACACUACAUAUCCAAGAGGUUUAUAUUUAAGAGCAAAUUAAGAUCAGGGUCGAUCAUUGAAUCAUGUUGUAAAACUGAUUAUAGAAACUGUUGUGAAUGUCAUGUAAAUUGAAAUAAUCCAGCUAGCCUGCAACGGCCGCAACUACUAUGCCUGUUCCAAGUCACAUUGCAUUCCACCACUGCUGAUGACAAAACAGCUCUUCAUGUUUCCACAGACAUCGAAUGAACUGAGAAUUUUAGUUUCUAUGCAUAGUUCCGAUUGCGGCAACAGAGAGCUCAAUGACUACGAAGUAUCAGAAAAACAUGCCUCAAUCCUGCCAGUAUAAUGGAAGCUUUGCCAGACUAGAUUGCGACUUUUGGUAUACAUCUGUUCAGUCACGUCACAUCAUCUACUUAUAAGUUGAAUGUCCUCUCCUGGUACAAAGUAGCAUGACCAGUGUAGGAGACGAAAGCGCAAAAAGGUAGACGUCAAUUCGGUGAUGGUGUGGGGCCAUGAACCGGGGACUUCGACGGAAGAGAGAGUACCAGCAGGCGUGGAUAAGUUAGUUGGGGAUAACGGUGAAGAAGCCCUGGUACUCUUAAGUUCACGGUGGUCCCGGAGAAAAUAUCAGCGGAGGAGGACAGGUACGCCACACGUCCUUCUCCAGACAUGAAUGCAAAUCAUGCAAUUCCUGUGAGACUCACAAGAUCAGGGGAAAUCAAACGCCUUUGCAGAUCCUCUCAACAAUUUUGCGCCUCAGGUCAGUGGCUGUUGCCAUGUAGGUUCAGACCAUGCGCAAACAUAUGAGAUGAACGUCACCUUUCCAACGAUUGAAGCAGCAGGGCAUCAAGCACCGUCAGCCUACCAAUCACAGCUAUGUCACGAGGAAACUCACGCAACUCUGUCCGCCCCGCAAGACCUUCGUCAUAUACAUAUGAUAGUUUCAACACGAAUCUGCAAGUGAAGCCUCGAACAAGUUGAACUAAAACCUGAGGAGGAUAAUCUAUUAGUCCUUAAGUUGCCGACAUGUGAGUCUAAUGCUCUAGUCGAUCAUCACCUCUGAAUCCACUUUCGACAAUUAUUCAGAUCGGUACAAAGCCUGCACUGGGCAAAGAUCGUAUACUGCUCAUCACCUUCGGAAUAAGUUGACCCACAGUUCAACUCAGUGCAUGGACCCAUCAUGUGGCAAGACUGCAACAACGGCGUAGGGUCAAUGAACUUGUUACUGAUUUCUCUAGCUGCAGCUCACACACGCCAGCUCGAAACAGUCUGAAUAAAUACCGGAGUAUUCAAACAGCAUUUUGCCACAAAUAUAUCAUACCUUAAAAAGUUUCCAGUGUGCGAGGUUUCCUCGCGGCGGUGCAUCAGCCUCUAGGUUUUCUCGAUGCAGUCUGAUCGAAGCAAGUAUGCAGUAGCAAAAAGAAACACCGGAGCCAGUGAUGCAGCUCCUACUGCAGCAUUCCCAAGCUCAUGGUUCUGAAUGGGAAUGAACACAAGCCAAGGAAUCAGGUGCUCGGUCCUGCUCCUAUUUUCUCAAGGACUAGCCUCCCAGUCAGAUUGAGCUACAUUACAACAUUAUAACACAACUGGGGAUGAACAAUGUGAAAAGCAUGCUCGCUUGAAAGCAUAAUGUUGAAUUGUGAAUUUUUCAUCAUUCUGCAUUUUUGUUCGGAGUAGGAAGACGUUUACCAUGUGCUUUUGAUCUCUCAAUACUUCAAGUUUAAAUUUUCUUAAAUAGGUUGGAUUUUUUUACACAAUGCAUACUUUAUUUUUUAUGAUCGGCAUUUAUAAUAACAAGAAAUAGAUACAUAGGGUCUUAAAUUCAAUUUUUGGUUUUUAGUAAGAUCGUCUUAUAACUCCCACCCAACAACAAUGUUGAGAAAAACACAAAAAAAUAAAUAAAUAAAAUAAAGGAUCCAAUGAGAGAGAAUGAAGAGUGUGGCUGGUUCAGUUGGUGGGGUUCACCCGUUCACACUGGCAUCGACUCAAUGGGACACGUCAUCAGAAAAUGAGUGCUGACGUGGAGGGGGCUCGAUGAUCGUGUCCGACGAGGCAAGAGUUGUCGGCCAGUUUCCAACAGCCCCUUCGAGUGUCUCCCAUGUGCUCACGUGGCCCUACCCUGCCAGGCUGUCGCACAAUCCCCAUUCAUCCAACCACCACGAAUGCCACGAAUGCCACGCACACACCCCAGCCCCCCAUCUUCGGGAACUCUAUCGGGAACGCUCGUUCUCUGUGUAGGGAACGGACUGACUCUGCACCUGGUAUUGUAUUGUAGCCCCCCAUCAUCCCAAGCUCCUGUUCCCACAUCCAGGGCUGCGUGCUUGCUGAGCUUCCAAUGUUGCCUUGAAAUUAAGUUGCUUUUAACAAAAUACUGUAUUACUUAGAGGUAAUAUGGUGGUUGUGGUUUUUAAAUUAAGAAUAUGUAAAUCACAGUUUUACACGAAACUCACACAAUAACUCUCAUGAUUAGACAUGUAAAAACAAUUCCCUAGCUUCUCUAAAAAGGUUUCUAAUGUGUACAUCAUGACAAAGUUCUUAUUGGUGAAACCAAAGAUAGCAUUUAGAAUUUAUUAGAAUAGAAUAUAAGAUUAACAUAACAGAAAACUUCUCAAUUUGAAAAAUCUACCACAAUUAAAAGCCUUGUGUUAUUUUUUAACAACUCUAUUGGUUUUAUUUUUUAUUUUUUCAAUCUUAUGACAAUUCUUGCUUGCGUUUUCAGUUUUCUUUUGUUAUUGAUCAUGUUAGUAUUUGAAAAUGUAGAAUUUUCGGAUUUAGAUAUAAACUAUGGAGCCCCAACUUCAUGUUCUUUUGUUAUAGCAUGUCGUCUAACUCCACAUAUCUAUUUGGGUUUGUAUCAAUUUUCUUCUGAAUUUCUGUAUUAGAACCAAAGUGUGUUAUUAUUAUUUCUGAGUUUUUUUUAAAAAAAAUUAAAGUCUUUAAUGGUCUUGUAUGCAACCUAAAUUAAUUUUUUAUUUUUUAUAGUAAUAUUUAAUUUCUGAGUAAAUAUUUGUAUUAUUCUAGGAUUUGCUGUGUAAAAUAUUUAUUUCUUCUAUCUAGUCUCUGAAUUUAUGAUUUAUUUUCUAUUGAUACUAAAUCUUUAAAUUCAUUGACUCAACAUCUUGGUAACAAUUAAUUUUGAAUGAAAAGUAACAAGAAGGUACAUUUGGUAGUAUCAUUCACUCCUUUUGAGUUGAUAUAUGCAAUGGACUUUAUUUAGUUGGUGCACAAUUGGGUAAUUGUUAUAUGUUAAUAAAGUUUAAUUUUACUUGGAAAAAAUAUAGAAGCCACUUUCUUUCUUUUAAAUAAAAUUAAAAAUUAUUUUAUUCUAAUCUUACAAGCUCUUAUAUGUUAGAUAAAUUAAAAGAAUUAAAAGUGAAAUUGUUGUUUUUAAAUCAAAUUGAAAUUUACUAUUGGGAAAUUCGGACUUUUCCAUUGUUGAGUUUUAUUUUUUAACAUGAAACAUAAAUAGUUCUUAUAAUACUUAUUAUUAAUACAUGCACAAUUUAAUUUUUCUACAUUGUAAUACACAAUAUCUUUGUCUAAAAUUGUUUGACUAAAAUCAUAUAUAAUUUUAUAUUAUAUUAGCAAAAAUAUUUUUGUUUGAUCUAUUUAUAGGGAGUUGUUAAAACUACACCCCCCUCCAAACCAUGUGAUGAUUAAUUUUGGGAGACAUGGAACAAGGGAUGGGGAUAGAGAACGUGGAACAAGGAUUGAAACACAGGGGAUGGAUGACAUGGAACAAAGGAUGGAGAUGGGUGAUGGAUGGAAUCAAUCAUGAGAUGGUAAUGUGAUUUUAACAACUCUCUAUUUAUAUAUGGAUAUUUUAAUUUUUUUAAAUGCAUCAUUUUAAAGAUAGAUACCAAGGAGUGAGUCGGUAGGUAUGAGAGCAGGUGACGGGGAUGGAGAAGCAAAAGAAACAGAGUGUGCCGAGCAAGAUUGAGCAUGUGUUGAGGGGGUUUGGGUUGGGUUUAGGGUUGGGUUUAGGUCUGGGUGUUGCCCUGGCAGGGCUACUGCUGACAAGUGAGUGAAGAAGGGAGAGAGGGAGGGGGAGAGAGAGGCCACUCACUCACUCAGUGGGGCUGGCUGGCCUGGCUGCCCCCAGACAGACGCGGUGGUGGUACCAGAACAUGGGGGCCGUGCUCUGCUCUGCUCUGAUCUGCUCUGGCAGGGAGGGAGGGCUUCUCCCCACCUCCCUUCCCUUCCCUCAGACGAGGGCUGCUUUCCAUCAACAUGAUGCGAGUGGGGUGGCGUGGAGCGGGCAGCGUGGGUCAGCGAGCGAUUCGCCUUGUCGCUCGCGAAAGUUACUACCUGGACGUUUGGCCGUGCGACAGCCUCGGUUGCUUAUAAUGAGGUCACAGUGCUGGGCUAAGCCAUGUCAGUCAGUCAGUCUCUCGCCGAGUCACUCACUCUCACUCACUCACUCAUGAUCCUGACAAAUUCGGGGGGAGGGAGGGAGGGAGGUGGUUCAGAUGAUGUUGCUUGCUGGUGGCACCGCCGUGGAGCUACUGCUACUACUACUACUCCUCCUGCUGCGGCCUCAAUGAUCCACCCAGAUUGAGCAGCGAGGGAGGGAGGGAGGGAGGGAGAGAGAGGGGGAGGGCAUAUCAUUCAUGCAGCAUUACAUUAGUACUCCGGGCUGCCACACUGGAGAGCGUCAAUACUACGCUGGGCAGGGCAGGGCAGGGCACCCAGACUCACUCACUCACUCACCCCCUCCCUCACAGACAGACAAAGAGAGACCGGGGAGCGACUUGCGGCUGCGGCAGCGGCGGGGGGCUGUCGUCAGCUGGGUAUGACAUGUCAGCAAUGAGAAUACCCUGUUCACACGCAAGUUUCUCGAGACAAGUGCGUUACGACGUAAACCACAUCAGCGAUGGGAGCGUGUGUUCCCUCCCUCCCACUCCUGGUUUGCUGAGACUAGUAAGUGAGGGGUAAGUCAUGACUUGGAUGAAUGUAAAACCGUCAAGGAUGAGAAAUUUUGGUAGAAUCCUACGUGGCAAGUUUGCAUGACUGUUCUCCUUGAUUUUAAGGACCCUUUUCUGUAGUGUAGUGCAUUUUGAAAUUGAUAUUUAGCAUGUGCAAUAAAUUAAGUCAUGCAUGUGUUGUGCUCUCAUGUAUAUAUAUAUAUAUAUAUAUAUAUAUUUAUUUAUAUUUAUAGAAGAAUUUAAAGAAAAAUUAAAGAGUUUUGAAUAGUUUUUUAUUCAAUAUAAACUUUACAAACAUUUGACAUAAUGAACUAUUGACACCUUUUAGAACCUGCUACUAUAUUCUAAAAACUUGUUUAUAACUUCAUGAAUAGUCUUUUAAUGGCUUCUAUAGUUGUCAAAAAUAUACAUGGUUGUCUAAAAGUUUGUAAAGGAAGUUUUAUGAACUUUUGGAACCUUCUAAAUACUUCCACAGAUUUCUGAAGAAGAAUAUGUAAGACUAAAUUCUUAAAGUGUAAAUAAAAAAUAAAAUUGAGAUGCACCUUAGUUUUUCUUAUAUAAUUUGUAGGAAAAUAUAUAAUAUUUAUUUAAUUUAAAUUUAAUAAAUUUUAUUUUGAAUCAAGCUAUAUUAUAGUAAUCUUUAAUAUUUGAUAAUUUUGAAUACAUAUUAAAAGAGAAAAUUAUAUAAUUUAAAAAAAAAAUCCAUUAUAUAUUAAAGUUAGAAAAAUUAUAUCUUUAAAUUGAUAUUAAUAUUUUAGCUUAGAAUUAUUUUUAAAGAUUAAUAUUAUUUGAAAAACAAAAAUUCAAAAAUAUUCAAUUCUUAUAAGAUAUAAAUUUCUAAAUUAUUUUACUAUUUAUUUGAUUAAAUAGUAUCAUAUUUGUAUAAAAAGCUAAUGAAGUUAUUGAGGACUUAAAUAAAAGAAUAAUAAAAAUUUCAAAAAAUACCAUAUCUAUAUGAAAUUUCAAACAAUAAUUUAUUUCAUUCAUCAAUGCAAAAAAUUAUGGUAAAAUAAUAAACAAAUAUUAGGUCUUUUAGAAAUUAAUAAUAAAUUUUAAAACAUACUAUAAGCAAAUCCAUCACUAAAAAUAUAAAGGAUUGGUAGAAAAAAAAUUUAAAAAUUUCUAAAAAUAUGAAACCACCAACAAAAAAGAAUCAAAUGGUAAUAUACAUGUAAAAUUUGAUGAAAUAGAAUUAAAUGUUUUAGCUUUUUAUAACAAAUUAAAUAAUGUUGGAACUCACAUAUUUCUUUAAUAACAAUAUGUUUACGGUAUUAUUUUAAAUUUUUUUAUUAUUAAUCUUUUAUAUGAUUUUUUCUUUCUUUUUACUUUUAAUUUUUUAAAUAUUCAUGAAAUUAAAUUAAAUAUAUAAAAAUAAUUUUAACUAAAAUUUUAAAUAUUAUUUGAAAAAAAUCAUUGAAACCAAAAAUAAUAAAUAUCAAUUUAAAUAUUAAAUUUAUCUAUUACUAAUAAUAUUGAAUUCUAAGACUGUCACGGCCAUAAUCAUGUAAGCUAAUAAUUACAUAUAGAAAUAGGUAGAAGUAAGUAAAAGUAGAUAAAAGUAAGCUAAUUCUAUAAUAUUUAAUAUAGAAGCUUCCUAGAAACUUCCUAGACGCUGCUUUGACUUCAUAGGUGUCUUUAAUUGACUUUUUGGAUUAGAAACGUGGUCAACAAGUUGGCCAUGUACCACACAUGUUGUUAGCUUGAAGAUCAAGCUAACUAUGUGGCCCACUCGUAGAAAAACUUGCCUUGUAAGUCAAGGCAUGUGUCCCACAAAGUCAACACAUAUUGGAGGUCCUAUAGAACGUCGCCACGUAGCCCCUAGUUAGAUAGUAUAUAUAGAGACAAGAGUGAAGGCUUCUUCACUCUUCUCAACUCUUUUCUUGCUUCUAGUCCAGGUUCAAGAGUCUUUAGUUUCUUGUCUUGUGGCAAUAGCCAUUCCAGUUUCCGUUUAAUAUAUCUACUUGUUUAUAUUUUGACUUAUUAUAUCGAGAUAGCCUUUUUGUAUAUUUUCCCUCAUUGAGUCUUUGUCCUUGACAGAUUGACAAGAGUACACUUACAAUAUCAGAGCUUUGUUUUUCUUGAGUGAGAGUGGAUUACCCCUUUCUCUUGACAAGACAUAAGCGUAUUAGAAGUUUGCAGAUUACCCACUUCUAAACUGAUAUUGUUCUUAGUAUCGUCUUUGUUAUCAAGUUUUUCUUUUCUUUUCGCUUGAGCAGUAUCAAACAAAUUUUUCUUUUUAGUGUCAUUAUGGCAGAGCUUGUUGAAAUGAAGAGUGCAAUGGCACAAAUGUAAGAGCAAAUGAGGGAAUUAAUGCUUGCGAUGCAUCAACUCAAUUCACCAACACAGGAAAGAACAAGAAUAGCAGAAAGUGGGGAUAUAGAGAUGAUCGGAGCUGCUUCAAUAUCUGCAACAAAUCACGUUCCUUCUCCAAUUAUACAACACCCUGUAAGCACUAGAGAACCAAGAAUUACCUUACCCGAGAAAUUUGAUGGUACGAGAUCUAAGUUUCGAGGAUUCAUCAAUCAAGUACAAUUGGCAAUUGAACUUCAACUGCAAAGCUAUCCAACUCCAGGAUCACAAGUCAGGUUUAUUGCCACUCUACUUUCUGGUUCUGCAUUAUCAUAGUUUUCGUCUUUUCUUGAACAACGAAAUCCAAUAUUGGAUAAUUUCGAAGCUUUUUUGGCGGAGUUUCGAUCUAUGUAUGGUGAACACGAUGUAACUCGUGUUGCAACAAAUAAGAUCCGAAUUCUGCGACAAGAAAAUCGCUUAGUAACAGUAUAUGCGUUCAUAAUUUUGACAACUUGCAAUUGACAUCAAGUGGGAUGAUGCUGCACUCAUUAGUCAAUUUCUUUAUGGAUUGCAAUACGAAGUAAAGAAAUUGAUGCUCAACUUACCUGAUCCUCAAACUUUGAGUCAAGCAAUCGAUUUCGCGAUAAAAUGUGAUAAUCGACUUUUCGAAUUUCGAUAUGAGAAUCAUUCACGAGAACCUCAACGUUAUUACUCAAUGGCAACAUCAACAUCUUUGCCAAACGUACAUUCGGAAGUAGAAGACAUGCAAAUUGACGCGGUACGUUUUAAAUCCCUAACUGAGCAAGAAAAGAUUCGUCGUCGUCAAGAAGGAUUAUGUUUAUAUUACGGAGAAUCUAAGCACACUGCUCAACAUUGUCCUAAGAAACGACGCAACUAUAAAAUGUGGGGUACGACGGUCAAAGAAGACAACAUGUCAGAAAACGGAUUCGUCCAGCUACAAUAGGGACCGUGUAGCUCGAACCUUGUACAAUUUCUAAUGAAGGUCCUAUCCUCUCCUCAGAACCCUCUCCUUGUUUUAUAAUAGACUUAUAUUUAGGACCUAAGAAUUACAAAGCCUCUGCUUUAUUAGAUUCGGGAGCCUCAGCAUGUUUUUUAGAUGAACAAUUUGUUAAAAGUCGUAAAAUACCCUUUGUACAGAAACCUAAACCAGUACAUGUAGAAGUCAUAGAUGGUCGUCCCUUGUCUUCUGGAGAUGUCACUCAUGAAACUCAUCCUAUAAAAGUAACAAUAGACGGUCAUGAUAGCUACAUAGCUUUUAACAUAAUUAAAUCCCCGUCCAAUCCAGUUAUUUUAGGUUUAUCCUGGCUAGAAAAAUAUAACCCUCGAAUAGAUUGGAAUUCGCGUAAACUUGACUUUUCUCAAAGCCUUAUUAAUAGUUCUACUAACCAAGUAAAAAAUUAUAAUUCUAGUAUAGUAAAACCCGUACUGAUAGGUACAAAAGCAUUUAUACACGCAGCAAAAGAAGGAUCAACUUUUACUAUUUAUGCUGCACCUAUUUCUCAAAACGUAAAGACUUCAAGUGGCAUUCCAAGUCAAUAUCAGGAGUAUCAAGACGUUUUUGAAAAAAAGAAUGCAGAUAUUCUUCCUGAGCAUCGCACAUAUGAUUGUUCAAUUGACCUCAAGGAAGGAACUCAGCCACCAUUUGGACCAAUUUACAGUUUAUCGCAAGAUGAGAUGGCUGAACUCAAGACAUAUAUUGACGAGAAUUUAGCGAAGAAUUUCAUGCGCCAUUCAAAACCUCCAGCAGGAGCUCCAAUUCUAUUCGUAAAGAAAAAAGAUGGAUCUUUACGAAUGUGUGUUGAUUAUCGAGGACUCAACAAGAUCACAAUCAAGAACAGGUAUCCAUUACCUUUGAUAUCAGGACUCCUUGACCAAUUGAAUCAAGCUAAGAUCUAUACAAAAAUAGAUCUAAGAGGAGCAUAUAAUCUAGUACGGAUCAAAGAAGGAGAUGAAUGGAAGACUGCGUUUCGAACCAAGUAUGGACAUUUCGAAUAUAAUGUCAUGCCCUUUGGACUCACGAAUGCACCAACUGCUUUUCAACAUCUCAUGAAUGAGGUAUUUCGUGAAUUCUUAGACAAUUUUGUCGUCUGCUAUCUAGACGAUAUCCUGAUCUAUUCUAAGAACGUCGAAGAACAUGAAAUACAUGUUCGUCAAGUAUUACAAAAACUUAGAGAUGCAGGAUUGUAUGCCAAGAUGGAAAAGUGUGUAUUUCACACUACUCAAGUUGACUUUUUAGGAUACAUCAUUUCAAAUAAUGGUCUCAUGAUGGAUUCUAAGAAAGUCCAAACAAUCAUAGAUUGGAAGAUUCCAAGGACGGUAAGAGAUGUCCAAUGUUUCUUGGGAUUUGCCAAUUACUAUCGGAUCUUCAUCAAAGAUUUCUCACGAGUUGCAGCUCCACUUACGCGCUUGACUAGUAAAGAUAAAUUUCAAUGGAAUCAAGAAGCGGAACCAGCAUUUGAAGCCUUCAAGACAUCGUUUGUCUCUGCACUAGUCUUAUAUCGUGUUGACUUUUCCAAGGCAUUUUUUAUGGAAACAGAUGCAUCAGAUUUUGCCUUGGGUGCAGUUUUAUCACAAAUGGGACCAGAUGACAAACUUCAUCCGAUAGCUUUUCAUUCAAGAAAAUUCUCAGCAGCCGAGAUCAAUUAUGAGAUCCACGAAAAAGAACUACUUGCAAUCGUGGAUUCCUUUCAAGAAUGGCGUCAUUAUCUAGAAGGCGCUUCUAGUCCAGUCACUGUGUAUACAGAUCACAAGAACCUCGAGUAUUUCAUGUCAGCACGCGUGUUGAAUCGUCGUCAAGCUCGUUGGAAUAUGUCUUUGUCAAGAUUCGAGUUCAUUAUCACUUAUCGGCCAGAAAAACAAUAAGGUUUAUCCGAUGCCCUGUCUAGACGUUCUUAUUUUGCACCAAAAGAAGGAGAUGUAGCUUUUGAGCAACAAAGAAUGGUCCUCUUGAAACCGGAGCAAUUUCAUCUCCGAGCAAUGAAAUCAACAUUGACUGUUGAUUCAACUUUUUUCAAGCAAAUCCAGUCCAGAAUGUCCUCAGACCCUCUUGUUCAUGAUAUCGAGAAUAAUUCUUCCAAGUCUCAUGAUCCUUCUAAGUUCGAGUUCAAGAAUAAUCUAUUAUAUUUUGAAGGACGCCUAUAUGUUUCAGAAAGAGAAGCACGUUUACGUGUUCUUCAAGCACGUCAUGACUUUCCAGCAAUAGGGCACUUUGGAUAUAAUAAGACUUUGGAACUCAUAUCAAGAGAUUUUUGGUGGCCACAAAUGUGGAAGUCAGUCAAAGACUUUGUACAAUCAUGUGAUAUUUGUUCAAGAUCAAAAAUUCCUCAUCAUCGACCUUACGGACUUCUUCAGCCAUUACCUAUACCAGAACAACCAUGGUCUUCUGUUUCUAUGGAUUUCAUCACAGAUCUUCCAAGCUCAAGAUCUUAUGAUUCUAUAUUUGUAAUAGUAGAUCGUUUCACCAAGAUGACACAUUUUGUGCCAUGUACAAAAUCUAUCACAGGUGAAGAAACAGCUAAGCUUUUCAUUGAUAAUAUCUAUCGUUAUCAUGGAUUACCUAAAGAUAUCAUAUCGGAUAGGGGAACUCAAUUUGUGUCAAGAUUUUGGAGGAUCCUUUUCAAGAUUUUAAAAGUGGACAUAAAGCUAUCUUCGGCUUUCCAUCCUCAAAUUGAUGGACAAACAGAGCACGUAAACCAAGUCUUGGAGCAAUAUUUAAGAUGUACUAUCAACUACCAAGAAGAUGAUUGGACAACCCUUCUGCCAUUGGCAGAGUUUGCUUAUAAUAAUACGGUACAUUCUUCCACGCAACAAAUACCGUUCUUUGCCAAUUAUGGCUAUCAUCCACGACUUGAUACUUUUGAUUUUUCAAAAGUUGAUAAUCCUACAGCAGAAGAUAUGGCAAAUCGAUUGUUAGAGCUACAUGCAAUAAUGAAGACGCAAUUGAAGGAAGCUCAAGAACGACAAAAGAUAAACACAGAUCUAUAUCGUAAGGAGCAACCACAACUCAAUGUGGGUGAUAACGUAUGGCUACUUCGUCACAAUAUCAAGACUACUCGACCUUGUGACAAGUUGGACUAUCGUAGGCUUGGCCCCUUUUAUGUUUCUAAACAGAGCAACCCAGUUGCAUAUCGGUUACAUCUACCGGAGUCAAUGAAGAUCCAUCCUGUAUUCCACGUGUCUCUUCUUGAACCAUAUAAGACAGUGGAUAUACAAGGAAGAAGACAAAUGCCACCGCCUCCUAUAGAAGUAGAUAAUAAUGAAGAAUUUGAGGUGGAAGAGAUAUUAGACUCAAGGCGGCGCCGAAAUAAGCUGGAAUAUCUUGUUCAUUGGCGCGGAUAUGAUAUUAGUGAACGCACAUGGGAGCCAUCCAGGAAUCUAGCAAAUGCAUCUGCUAAAGUCAAAGUUUUUCAUCAACGACAUCCAUCGAAACCAAGAUGAAAAUCUCUCUUAUAAAAGAGACAAGAUUGAGGCAAGAUAACAUUCAAUUUCUUAUACUUGUUUGUAACUUCUUUACAUUUGUGACGCUAAUUAGAUGGAGAGCCAACAACUAGCAGAUUCAACUCAAGAACCUUCGUUUACUGACCUGCUGGACGAGACAUUACGAUUGUCACAACCUUCAAGAACGACAUGUUCUUCCUCGAACAGAUGGUGAGAUACAACACGUUUGGUAUCACGAUUUGGGAAGGGACUCUCGAUGUUUGGUGAUUUUGCUAGAGGUAGGAACAACUCCUGAUGGUGUUCGGAAUACUCUAUUCGAAGGAAGUUAUGAAGGCCUCAACAAUGAUCAAAUAACUGGGUAGUCUUCCCGCCCUGGUAUGAGACACUACCGAUGGUUGAGAGGCCCUAUCAAUCAUCUUCGAAGAGAACAGAGAUCAGAGUAUGUGGCGAAUACAAUUCGUCGCAUCAUAGAUUUCCUCAACAUAUGAUGACCGCUCCUCAUGGAACUCGUCUCUAGAAGGGGGGGGUAAUGUCACGGUCAUAAUCAUGUAAGCUAAUAAUUACCUAUAGAAAUAGGUAGAAGUAAGUAAAAGUAGAUAAAAGUAAAUUUAUUCUAUAAUAUUUAAUAUAGAAGCUUCCUAGAAACUUCCUAGACACUGCUUUGACUUCAUAGGUGUCUUUAAUUGACUUUUUGGAUUAGAAACGUGGUCAACAAGUUGGCCAUGUGCCACAAAUGUUGUUAGCUUGAAGAUGAAGCUAACUAUGUGGCCCACACGUAGAAAAACUUGCCUUGUAAGUCAAGGCAUGUGUCCUACAAAGUCAACACAUAUUGGAGGUCCUAUAGAACGUCGCCACGUAGCCCUUAGUUAGAUAGUAUAUAUAGAGACAAGAGAGAAGGCUUCUUCACUCUUGUCAACUCCUUUCUUGCUUCUAGUCUAGUUUCAAGGGUCUCUAGUUUUCUUGUCUUUUGGCAAUAGCCAUUCUAGUUUCUCUUUUCAAUAUACAUACUUAUUAUUCAUAUUUUUUUACUUUUCUUUGAGUGAAGGCUUACUUGUCUGAACUAUUUUUUCAUCGAGUUCUUGUCCUUGACAGAGAGCCAAGAACGAGUGGAUUCAACUCAAGAACCUUCGUUUGCUGACCUGUCGGACGAGACAUUACGAUUGUCACAACCUUCUAGACGACGCAAUCGAGAUGAACAUCUUCAAGAACGUCAUGUUCUUCCUCGAAUAGAUGGUGAUAUACAACGCGUUUGGUAUCACGAUUUGGAAAGGAACUCCCGAUGUUUGGUGAUGUUGCUAGAGGUAGGAACAACUCCUCAUGGUGUUCCAAAUAUUCUAUUCGAAGGAAGUUACGAAGGCCUCAACAAUGAUCAAAUAACUGGGUGGUCUUCCCGCCCUGGUAUGAGACACUACGGAUGGUUGAGAGGCCCUAUCAAUCAUCUUCGAAGAGAACAGAGAUCAGAGUAUGUGGCGAAUACAAUUCGUCACAUCAUAGAUUUCCUCAACAUAUGAUGACCGCUCCUCGUGGAACUCGUCUCUAGAAAGGGGGGUAAUGUCACGGCCAUAAUCAUGUAAGCUAAUAAUUACAUAUAGAAAUAGGUAGAAGUAAGUAAAAGUAGAUAAAAGUAAGCUAAUUCUAUAAUAUUUAAUAUAGAAGCUUCCUAGAAACUUCCUAGACGCUGCUUUGACUUCAUAGGUGUCUUUAAUUGACUUUUUGGAUUAGAAACGUGGUCAACAAGUUGGCCAUGUACCACACAUGUUGUUAGCUUGAAGAUCAAGCUAACUAUGUGGCCCACUCGUAGAAAAACUUGCCUUGUAAGUCAAGGCAUGUGUCCCACAAAGUCAACACAUAUUGGAGGUCCUAUAGAACGUCGCCACGUAGCCCCUAGUUAGAUAGUAUAUAUAGAGACAAGAGUGAAGGCUUCUUCACUCUUCUCAACUCUUUUCUUGCUUCUAGUCCAGGUUCAAGAGUCUUUAGUUUCUUGUCUUGUGGCAAUAGCCAUUCCAGUUUCCGUUUAAUAUAUCUACUUGUUUAUAUUUUGACUUAUUAUAUCGAGAUAGCCUUUUUGUAUAUUUUCCCUCAUCGAGUCUUUGUCCUUGACAAAGACCUUAUGUAUCUUAGAUAUUCAUAUUAAUUUAAAAUAAAUAAAAGAAAAUAAAUGUAUGUAUAAUGAAAUUAUGUAGAUAUUAACUUCUUUAUAAAUAUAAAAAAAUAUUUUUAGAGUUGAAUUAGAUUUAAAGAUGUGCCAUAUAGCCAAAACUUUAAUAAGUUUUGAACUUCAAAAAGUCUAUUGCAAAAACCUUGUAUAAUUUAGACACUUAAAUUGCAAGUCUUGUUGUUCUUAGAAAGUUUCUACAAGGAAUUUUUUCUAUCUAAUAUAUACAAAGACAUUACUAAAUUCAUCAUUAAUCUUGUAAAUAUUUUUUUUAAUACUCCAGUUUUUUUAAAGAUUUUUCAACGUCUUUAUAUUUAAAUAUAGCUAUUCUUAUAUUUUCUUAUUUUAUAAAUAUUUUUAUUUUUAUUUUCCUUUCUUUUAUUUUUUUAUACAUAAUUACAUUGCCUUCUAAGUAUGUCUAGAUUCACAUUGUUGGCAUUAUGUGUAAUCUUUAUUAAAAAAAUUAUAUUUUUAUCAACCAAUUUUAAUAAAAUAUAAGUAUAUAUAUAUAUAUAUAUAUAAUUAUAAUUAUAAUACUAAUAUUUUAGAAAAAAAUAUUAUUUUAAUUUUUUUAUGAUAAUUUAUUAUUUUAAAAUAUUUUAAAAUAGUAUCUCAGGUGAUAAAUAGUACUAAAAUUUAUAAUUAUAAUAUUUUUUUUAAAAAAAACUACAAAUAUACUUACAUUAAUCAAAUUCUAAUCAAGCAAUCUUAUUUCAAAUUUAUUAUGUAUAUGUGUAUAUUGGUUUCUUUGUUCAUAAAUAUAUAUAUAUAUAUAUAUAUAUAUAUAUAUAUAUUAUCAUAGUAUAUUUAAAGUAAUAAAAUAGUAGUAAAAAAAAUACCAAAUAAAAAAUUUAAGGUAAUACAAAAAAUUAGAUUGUAAAAAAUAAAAUAAAAUAAUUAAUUGUAAAAAUAUUAAUUAUAAAAAAAUAUUGCAAAAGAAUCCUAUAUACAACAAGUCAACUUAAGAGUGAUGGAAAUAAUUUGAAUAAACAUUUUAUAUAAGAUGUUAUAUAAUGUUUUAAGUAAGAAUUUAUAAUUCAAAUUAUAAGAAAAACUUAAGUAUCUACAUAUUACAAAGUCAUUGACUAUGCAAUUAUACUUUAAAAAAGAAUUAUACUAAUUGCAUAUAGAAAAGAAUAGUAGAUGUCUUAUAAAACAUCACCAUCUAGCUUUUAAUUAGAUAGCAUAUAUAAAAGCAAGACUGAAGCCUUCUUCACUCUUGCCAACAACUUUUAGACCUUACUCUUAUCUUAUGUUUUUCUACUCUUCUUAUCUUUAGCAAUAGCUAUUCUAGUUUAAUAUUAUACAAUCUUUGAGUAAUUUUCAAGCCUUUUCAAGUGACAAAAGAGUAUACUAAUCUUUUAGUUCUUUGAGAUUCAUGUCUUUAACAAUUUGACAAGAGUGUUAACUUGUUGUUCUUUUUUUGUUUUAGAAAUAAGUGAAUUAUUCUACUUCUAUUGUUAUAUUUUGAAGGUUGGAGACUAUCUACUUUCAAACUAACUUUUAAUUUUUCAACAUUGAUUUUUUUUCCUUAAAGAAAGUGGACUACCUUUCAUUGUGAAAACUUUAAUUUGAUAUUAGAAGUUACAAAUUACUCUCUUCUAAUUUAAUUUGUAGAUUUAUUUGAGUUGUCUUAUUGGAAGUGAAAAUAAAUUUGUAACUAUUGCAAAUCUUCAUAAGCUUGAUAAUACUUUUAGGAUAAAAAUCUCAUGUAUCUUUAAUAUCAAACUUGUGGAUAGUAUUUCAAUGCCUAUAGAACAAAUCAAUAAUAAAAUUUAAAGUCUAUGCUAAGAAGUUGUGCAAUUGAGAGAAGCAACAAGAUCAAGUUCACAACUAAAUUUGAGAAGUCUUGUUACUACAAGUAUAAAAGAGACAAGGAUAAGUUUAUUAUAGAAUUUCAAUAAAACAAGAUCAAAGUUUUGAAGAUUUUUACAAUAAGUAAAGCAUUAUUUAAGGUUACAUCUUUUUUAAUAUUCUAAUAGAUUUAUCUAAGUUGGAUUUAUAGGUGCACUUUUCUUUGAGAGUGCUCUCUCUUAAUUUAUACCUUUGAUGAAAAAAGAUUCAUGAGUACUCUAUGAUUUAAGUUUACUCUUAGAGGUCUUUAUGACCACUUUUGGAGAAAGUAAUUGAAAAAAGAUAGCAGAGACAAAACUUGUAUUUUUAAAAUAAGAAUCAUAAUAAGCCACUAUAUGUAUUGCUGAAUUCCAAAAUCUCACUUAUGACAUGGAUUGGAAUAAUAAGACUCUUAUCAAUCAAUUUUAAUAUGAGUUAAAAGACCACGUUAAAGAUUUAUUGUUGACAAUGUUAAGAAUUGUUUUAUUGAAGUAAUUUAUUGCUUAAGCUAUCAUAUGUGACAAUUGACUCUCUAAAAGAUGCCAAGAAUAAAGAUUUGAUAUCAAGGAUAUGAAUCUUAAAGAAAUAAAUCGUCAAUAUAUUCUUAUAUUAUUCAAAAAUAUUAGAAAAUUACUAUUGUCAAAGACAAGAAGAUUAGGAAGUCUUGAAACAAGUCUUAAGACUAUAAAGGCAUUGACAAGAAUGAAGACGGCUUCACUCUUGCUUCUAUAUAUACUCUCAAUUAAGAGUUAUGUAGCAAUGUCCUAUAGGACCUACAAAACAUGUUGAAUUUGUAAGACAUAUAUCUUAAAUUACAAGACAAGUUUUUUAUAUGUGUGCUAUAUAAUUAGCUUAUUUUGUAAGCUACUAAUAUAUGAUUAAUUUGUUGACCAAGUUUUUAAUCUAUCAAUCAACUACAAAUACAUAUAAAAUCAAAGCAACGUCUAUAAAGCUUUAUGAAAAAAAUCUAUUUUUAUCUACUUCUACUUAAUUAUAUAGGUAAAUGUUAGAGUAAAUAUAUUUCUCUAUAACAUUAUCUUCUCUUUUAAGGAUAAGUUUCAGGAGGAGCAAUCAUCAUCUUUCAUAGAUUUUGUAAUUCUUCAACUUGGUUUUGAUGAGUAUUGUCAAUAAAAAAAAACUUUAACUUUCUUUGUUUUAUUUGUAAGAUUCUUUGUUAGGCCCUAUGUACAUUUACUAAUAUCAUAUCGACACUAAUGAAAAAGAUAUUGUAAUAUAUUUCAAUGCUAUCUUGAAUCUAAGACUUCUUAUACCUUGAAUUUUUUAUCAUUAUCUAUUUUUAUAAGAAGAGGUGGUAUUUAUCUUAUUUUUAAAAUAUUCAUUGUCUUAUAUGACUUAAAAAAAGAUACAUGAAAUAUGAGAUGGAUCUUCAUAGACUCUGAUAGAUAUAAUUGAUAAGCAAUAAGAUUGAUUUGUUCACAAGUAAGGAAAGGCCCAAGCUUAUAAUAAUCCAAUUUGUCACAAAGAAAAGUAGUCUUAAUAUUAAGACAAAGUAACCAUAACUUGUCAUCUACAUUGAAUUGUGGUUGUUACUUGUAAUAAGUAUUUGCAUUGAUUAUUUGUCAUUUUUGAACUUCCUUUAAUUGCACCUUUAUUGUUGCAUAUAGCUUUGACAAAUGAUUUAUCAAAUCUUCUAAUAGAGGAUUAUUAACUUUAAAAAAGUCAAAAGUAUCAAAUUAUGGAUGAUAACCAUAAUUGACAAAGAAAGGUGUUUGUUGAAUAGAAAAAAUGUAUCAAAUUAUUAUAUACAAACUCUGCCAAUGACAAAAGAAUUUUCCAAUUACCUUGAUAAUAAUUGAUGGUAUACUUCAAAUAUUGCUCUAAAACUUGAUUUUUCCAUUCUGUUUGCCUAUCAAUUUGAGGAUGAAAAGCCAAAGAAAGUUUUAUAUCCACCUAUAAAAUCUUAAAAAAUAUUCUCCAAAAUCUUGAUAUGAACUGAGUCCUCCUAUCCAAUAUAAUAUCCUCGGAUAAUCCAUGAUAGCAAUAGAUAUUGUUUAAAAAAAUCUUAGCUAUUUUUUUACUUAUGAUAUGUUUUGUACAUCGUACAAAAUGAACCAUCUUGAUAAAAUGUUCUACAAUUAUGAAUAUAGAAUCAUACAAACCUAAGAUUAAAAGAUCUAUAAUAAAAUCUUUAUGGAUAGAAGACUAUGGUUGUUGAAGUAAGUAAUAGUUGAAAAAGUACAUAAGGUUGAUGACAAGGAGUUUUGAAUCUUGAACAAAUAUCUUAUGAUUAUACAAAGUCUUUGACUGCAUUUCAUAUUUGGGGCCACCAAAUUUUUUUAAAUAUUAGUUCCGAAGUCUUAUUAUAUCCAAAAUGUUUGGCUAUUGGAAAGUCAUGAUGAGCUUGAAGAACAUGUAAUCAUACUUUGCCUUCUAGAAUGUUUAAUCAUUCCUCAAAGUAGAAUAGAUCAUUCUUAAAUUCGAAUUUGGAAGUAUUAUGAUACUUAGAAGAAUUAUUUUUGAUAUUAUGAAUAAGAUGAUGAGAAGAUAUAUUUGAUUAAAUUUGCUUGACAAAAGAUGAAUCAACAGUCAAUGUUGAUUUUAUUACUUGAAGAUAAAUAUACUCCGCCUUCAAGAAAAUUAUUCUUAGUGAAUCAAAAGCUACAUCUUUUUUUUGUUUAUACAAAAUAAAAAUUUCUACAAAAGGCUUUUGAUAAACCUUGUUUUUUUUGGGAUCUAUGAAUGAUUUUUAAAUCAAAUCUUGAUAAAGACAUAUUUUAACAAGUUUGACAAUAAUUCAAAGUACAUGCCAAUAUGAAAUACUUGAGAUUCUUGUAAUCUAUAUACAUAGUAAUUGGAGUAGAAGUUGCUUCUAGAUAAUGAUGCCAUUCUUGAAAUGAAUCUAUAAAUCCAAAAGUUCUUUAUUAUAGAUCUAAUAAUUAAUCUUGGAUUCUAAAAAUUUCUUGGAAUAAAAAUCUACUAAAUAGAGGUUAUCAUCUAUUUCUGUUUGUGAUAAAAUAAGACCUAUUGCAAAGUUUGAUGUAUCUAUUUCUAUAAAGAACUUCUUAAAAAAAUCAACGUGAUACAAAAUUGGUGUAGAAAUAAAUAUUGUCUUUAAAGCUUCAAAAAAUGUUUAAGCUUCUUUGUUCCACUCAAGUUUGUCUUAACAUGUCAAAUGUGUUAGAAAAGCUACAACUUGAGAAAAAUUCUUGAUGAAGAUUAAAUAAUAAUUGGAAAAUUCCAAAAAACAUUGUGCAUCUUUGACUGUUUUUGGGACCUUCUAAUUCACGAUAGACUGGACCGUCUUAGGAUCUAUCAUUAAUUCUUUGUUGGAAAUGAUGUAUCAUAAGAAAUUAACUUGAGUAGUAUAAAAUAUACAAUAUUUUAAUUUAAUUCAGUAUCAAAUCUUAAUAAAGGAAAGAAGAUAUUUUUUGAAGAACUUUAUGAAGGAGAAUUAUUAAAAAUUGGUCUUUAUUUGAAUGCCUUGACUAAACAAGAGAAUUGGUUGACAUAAAAAUUUAAUCAAGUAAGAAAAAAGGCUUAUAGAUUUUUGCUUCAAGAAGGGUUUUUAUGGAAGAGACCAAAGAAAAGAAUUGGAACGCCAAGACAAGCAAUAGGUACCAAAGAAGAUCAACAAAGACUACUUAAUGAGUUUCAUGAGAGUCUAUGGACGGGACAUAGAGGAAUUUGGGCUACUUUUGCUAAAAUGAAGGAAUGAUAUUGGUAGAAGAAUAUCUAUUGAGAUGUAACUUUGUUUGUAGAAUCUUGUAUAACUUAUCAGAUGUAUUCAAAUAUAUGACAUCGAGAUGGGUUACAUCCAACAUAUCCUUUGGCUAUUUAUUUUAAAUAGAUUGUAGAUUUGAUUAUUAUACCGAUGGGACUAUGGUAAAUGAGAUAUUUAGUUUUGGCUCAUAAAGAUUUAUCAAACCAAGUAAAAGGUAGGGCACUAAGAACAAAGUCCACAAAAGGAAUUUGUAAGUUUUUACUUGAGAAAGUUAUCUGUCACUAUGGAUGUGUGAGAAAGAUCAUUGCAUAUCAUAGAGAAUUGGAUGCAUAUAAAGCUUGUGAUUUUUUUAAGAGUUGUGGGAUCAAAUUAUCAUUAACUACUACUUAUAAUCUAGAGGGGAAUGCAAAAAGUGAACGUGGGCAUCCACCAAUUUUAAAAGCCUUAAUUAAAGCUUGCAAUGGAAGGGUGAAAGAAUGGCCUCGACUUCUACUUUAUAUAUUAUGGGCUGAUCAAACAACACAUAAUUUGAUAAUAGGAUAUAUGCCAAUGGAACUUAUGGUAGGUCAAAAACUAAUUAUGCCAAUUGAAGAAAAUAUGCUAACUUGGAGUAUGCUAUUAUGAGAAGAUGGAUUGACAAGGGAGGAAUUGUUAAGCAUUAGAAUUCGGCAACUUGAACAAAGAUCAGAAGAUGUGGAACUAGCAUUGAAAAGGUUACAAAAGGCAAAGUUAAGAAAUAAGACUCAAUUUGAUAAGCAAUAUCGAUUGAAGCCUAGAACAAUUGAAGAAGGUGAUUGGAUACUUGUUAAUGAUAGCAGUCUAGAUAACCAAUAUAGUGCUUUGCAGAAGUUUUUAAAACAUUGAUUUGGACCAUACGUGGUAGUAACAGUUCAUAAUAAUACUACAUAUUCAUUAAAAGAGUUAGAUGGUACGAGGUUGAAAAUAUCUAUUGCUAGGAAGCGAGUGAAGAUUUUAAAAAGAUAAGAUAGAAAAAUCAAAAUAGAUGAUUAUGUUGAAGAUAUCAAUAUUUUUGAAGAAGAGAAUAGUUUUGAAGAAGAUGGUAAAAAUAGAAAUGAAGAAUUUAAUAAAAAAAAUGAAAAGAUGGUCUGAUGCAAAUUAUGGCAUAUGGUUCAUUUGGCACAUGUCAGAAGAUGUGCAGGUUAAGAGGAGGUGGAUGUUGUGAUAUAAUACGACUAUAUAGUGAAAUUAUAAUCAAAAUUUAAUUUCUAAUUAAUAUCUAAUUAUUUUAGUUCAAUUAUAAUUUGAAGUAUUUAAGCAUGGCUUUUAUAAAAGCUUCUUAGGUUAUUUUCUUAUCUUAAUAGUUAGUAGGUUGAAGGUUAGUUAGUAAUUUUACCUUCUAGGUUAUAGAGACUCUUUUACUACCUUAGAAAGACCAUAAAUUGAUAAAAUCAAGUUAAAAGAGAUAAAUAAUUAGUAUGGUUGGUACUAAGAUUAAUUUGAGAAUAGGGUUGGAUUAAAAAAUCCUUAGGAUAGGUUAGAUUGAUAUUCGAGGGUCGACCAUUUGUAAGAGAGGGUCGAAAUCACACCUUUGGCUACUAAAACGAUGGCCUAGGGCAAAAUAGAGAUUCAUUCGAAGUUCAUAGGUUAAGAUUUGAGAGUUAGCUUGAAGUUCUUUUUAAAGGCAUAAGGAUUGUUUUUGGAGGAUUUUUGAAGAUUUAGAAAUUAUUGUUCAAAGUUAGGAUUUGUAUUGGUGAUUUGGAUUUUAUAUAAUAUAAUUAGAGCUAGCAAUUUUGGCUAGUUCGUGCAAUUGGUGUAAUAUCUACAAUUGAAAAUUUGAUACUAUUUGGAUUAUUGGAUGUGCUAAGUGUAUACAAAAUUUUGUAAUAAUCUAACAAUGUGAUUUAGAGAUAUCUGGUUUUUAGCAUAAGAGGAUUUUGGAAGUUAGAAGUUUGAAGUUGGAUAGGAUUUCUGUGAUAUCUUGAGAUCUACUAGUUGGAUCAAGGUGAAAUUUGGCAUGGUAUUGUAAGACUUGAAGAUCAAUCCGCACACCAAUUUUGAAUCAAAGUUAAUGGUUGAAAAAAGAAAAAUCACUGCUGGGAUUUCUACUUUACUUUUUAAGUUAGCAGCCAAGUGAUAUUAGUGCAAUUUUUGGAGGUUUUUUCACAAUUUGUAAGUUGGAUUGGGCUAAAAAUUCUUAGGCAUAUAGAAGACUUACAUUAAAAAUUGCAUGUAAAAUUUAAUAUCAAGUGGACAGCCACAUUAGAUGUUAUAUCUUAUUAAAGCUCAUUGAUUAGGAUUGGGGCUUAUAAGAAAAAUCUAAAUUGCUUAAAUAUGAAAGUAAUAAGAUAAUUGGAAUUUAUGUAUGAUUAAGGCUACUUAAAAGAGUGUUUUUAGGACUUUUGAAUUAAAAUUCAGAUUAUAUUCUUCUCGUAUAGAUGAAACCUAUUAGAAUUUCUUGGAUACUUGUGAAAUACAUCCUCACCUUCCAUAGCUAAGUGCCGAUUACAUUCUGGAGCAAGACAAAAUGUAAUAUGAUGUCAUGUUGUAACACAAUCAUAUGGUGAAAAUAUAAAUGAAAAAGAUUUUAUUAAUAUUUAGUCAUCUUGCAUGUUAAAAACAGUGGCCAAUUCAGGAACUAGUUAAUGUCUUCCCAUAGCAAGCUAUACUAUCAUAUGUGACAUCAGCAAUAUGCUCCAUUGGCGUCAUUGAACCAAGUACCCUCCGUACCAACGGGACAACCAGGAUCAUUUUCUAACCCUACAUGGAACAAGCCUAAUAGGUAUAUACCAUUGGAGACACCUAAUAUACCUGAAGGGGGUAAAAGAAGACCACUUCAUUGUUUCUAUUGGAGACAGAUUGAUCAUUAUGCUAGUGAAUGUCCCAAUUCCAAAGCGAGUGAUGAUUACACGCUAGUGUGUAGGAAUUGCAAGCAAUCGAGGCAUACUUAUCAACAAUGUAAUGCUCCGUUCAAUUUCAAUAAUCGGGAUGAACAAAUCCAAAGCCAAGGAAAAAUUCAAGAGAUAAAUCGAGGUCCUCAAGAUACUCCGAUAAAUCGGGUGGAAUGUGUCUAAGCCGUUCUUACCAAAAGUUGGCAAAAAAAAAAGAAGACCAAUUCAACAUUUGAGUGAGCCUGAUGCGAAGGGCUAUUUUGACCCACUUAUGAAGACAUCCAAUCCAGGUCCUGUUACGGGCUUCUUAUCCAGUAUGAGACCUGACUUGCUUGGAUAACCCAAUGAGGUCCUGAUUACGGAGACUUCGAUUCCAUUUCAAGUUGUUCUGUUCUCUAUGCCAUUUCAAGUUGUUCUAUUCUCUAUGCCAUUUCAAGUUGUUCUGUUCUCUAUGCCAUUUCAAGGUUCGUCAUCAAUUUUUUAGGCAGCGGUCAAGGGACAUGAGUGUGGAUUUGCGACAUUUUCUUGCAAUCUGUAAGUUAGAUUGGAUUGAAACUUCUUGAGCAUUUAGAAGACUUGCAAAGAUACUAGUGGUAGAAGUUUUACAACAAUUGGACGGUCAUAUUGAGAAUUACAGCUUGCCGAAGCUCGCUGUCUAGAGUUAGGAUUUAAAAAUUAAAAAAUUAAAAAUAAAAUAAAUAAAUAAAUAAAAUAAUACUAAUAAAAAUAAAAUAAAAUAAAACUAACAAAUAACAAAAGAAUUUGUGCUUAUAAAAUCUUGAAGUUAUUAAAAGUAGAGUUUUUAAGUACUUUGUAUUGAAAUUAAGCUUUUACAUUGAAAUCCGAAAUAGUUUGUAUUUAGUUGGUUGAAACCCACUAGAUUACUUAGAUACUUCCAAAACAUCAUUUUAUCUUCCACAAUCAGAUGCUCGAUGCAUUCUCAACCAAGAUAGCACGUAAUAUGAUAUAAGUGGUGAACCUAAUGUGAAACGCUUGAGGUGGGAGGUAUUGGAAUUCAUUUAUUUUUAUUUUUAUUUUAUAGAGAAUGAGAAUAAAAAUUUUGAAGGAGCUUCAAGUGGAACUUUUGGUGGGGUUUCUUCUAAAGGUCAAAGUAUGUACAUGGAUCCAUCCAUUGCUAGUAUGUUUCAAGCCUUAUCAUUAUCUAUGCAGCAACAACAAAGCAAUGAUCACAAAGAAGCUUUAGCAACCAAAGCAUUGCAAGCAGUGGUCAAUAAAAUUGAUCAAUUUGAUGGAAGGAAUAUUUCAAAGUAUUUAAGAUAUUAUGUUCGGGAAAUGGAAUUCAAUUGGAUUUCUGAGAAGAAGAUGGUUGAAUUAUUUGGACUUGUCACAAUACCGGAAAUAAGAAAGUAUAUUACAUCAAUUAUGGAGCAUUAUGGAAAUUCAUGGGAGAUUUUUUCACAUGCAUUAAAAGACAAAUAUUUCUUGGAGGACAGUGAUCGUGUUACUAAGAAACUAUUUCUAGAAUGGAUUAAGUGGCCUAAUAAGAAUUUAUAAGCAAUAGAGCUACUAAAGGAAUUUGAGAGGUGGUAUUCUCAAUUAUUGAAGGUAGAAAAUUGACAUUAGAGUCGAACAAGGUUGAAUUAUUUCUUCAAGCUUCUGAUUGAGAAUUACAAUGAAAAUUGGAGUUGCUUCUUGAAGACAAAGAAGAAGAUGAAGGAUUGACAAUAAAGUAGAAAAAUGUUGAAAAUACAGUAGGUUUGCUUGGAAAAAGAGAAAGAAUGAAGAGUAGGAGUAAUAUUCCAAAAACAGUACAAGCACCUAAAAUUCUAGUAUAUACAACACGACCAACAAUGCCUACUGUUAAAACUUCAACAUCUUUAGUGAAAAAAGGAGAUAUGGAGAUUGAAGAAAUUAUACGCGGAAUGCGAGAUCUUCAAAUCAAAUUAGCAAGACUUAAAGAAAAUACUUCUACAAAUAAUUUGAAGAAUGUUUCAAAACAAGGAUAUGUACAAAGAUGUAUCUAGUGUGAUGAUGCUUCACAUACUAGGAAGGAUUGCAAUGAAUUUAAUAAUAUGGUACAACAAGGAAUUAUUUACUGAAAAGAUGGAAAGAUUGUAUUAAAGGAUAUAAAAGAUCUCCUUCAAACCAAUUUUGGCAAAGGAGGUAUGAGAGUAUUGAUUUAAGAUUAUUUCAUAGAACAUGGAAUAGCAACACGAGAGAGUACAAGUUAUGGUGCUAGAGUAGAUGAUGACUUUGGUGGAAGUAUAGAAACUAGUGAGUUUUGGGCUUCUGCUAUUUCUACAAUGCAAAAAGGAAAAAUGCCUAGAAAAGCAUUAUUGAGGACUGCAGCUAUAAUACAAGGUGUAACAAGUUGGAAAGAUCUUGUUGAGUCUCUUUCAGUUCAUGCAUAUAUUGCUAAGAACCAACAUGAAACUUUGAUGGAAGAAAAGGGACGAGAAAAUUUUGAUGAUACAAGAGAAGGAAAUUCUUCUAAGAGGCAAACUCGAGGAGACAAGGCUUAUGAGGCGGCUUCAGAAGAAUUACCUAUAAAGGAUACUUCAGCAUCAUUGGAAGAAAAAAUAAAGGAGACAAAAGAUAAGGGUAAAUUAAUUACUUAUAAGCUACUUUUUGAUAUUAAAGUGGCAACAUAUUUAAAAGGGGUGUUGGAAGAACGUAUAUUAAAUGUUAAGGUAGAAUUCACAUUGAAAGAAAUUUUGGAGCUUGUUCAGAUGUCAAAAUUUGGAUUGGAGAUGUUGCAAUAGAACAACAUUUCUUUGUUCAAGAUACAACGUCUUAUCCAUUGAUUUUAGGACAACCUUAUAUUACGGCAACACGAAUAGAAACAAAAGUACUUGACAAUGGUUCUGCUUAUGUAAAGGUACGUAGUAAAGAUAGAAAGAAAGUUGUACAGUUUCUAACAGUACUUCCUAAUCAUGAACGAAAUCGAGAUAGGUUGAGGGAGAAACCAUUGCCAAGGAUUAUUGAAGAAUUUAGGGAUUUUGAGGUCGGAGAGCUAGCUUCAAGCUCCUUAGAAAGGUGUAGGACUUGAUUUCAUAGGAUUUGGGAGGACUUUGCAAUCGUUGUUCAAAGUCAGUGUUUGUAUUGGUGAAUUGGAUUUUUUGUAAUAAAGUUAAAGCUAGUACUCUUGACUAAUUUAGUAAAUUACAGAAACAUCUGAGAUUGAAAUUUUAGACAUGUCUAGAUGGUUGAGUAUGCCAAGUACAUGCAAAAAUUUGUGUUAAUCUAAUGGUACAGAUAAAGGAUAUUUGAUCAUUAAUGUAAAGAGGUAUCAAAAGUCGACAUAUUGGAGUUGUUUAGGAUUUUUGUAAUAUCUAGAGAUCUAUCGGCUGGAUAAGGUGAAUUUUGAUGUGAUAAGUCAAGGACUUAAAGAUGGAGCUGCACACAAGGUUUGAAUGAGAAUUAAAAGUUGAAGAAGGAGAAAUUACAAGUCAAGUUUGUGUCACGGACAAAAAAUACAGCCUUGAAAUCUAACAAGAAGUUCAAGAAGAAGUGACAGAACUAGAUUAAACAGAUAAGUACAAGAACAACACCAGAAAGGUGAGCUAGAACUCCAAGAGAUGUGUUGUCGAGACUGAAGAACCCUUCAGCCUCGACUCCUAUAUAUACUACUGAAUAGGAAGCUUCUCGAGCUACUUCCGCUAACUAGGACGCUUCUCCAACAACUUCUACUAAUUAGGAAACUUCUUGAGCAACUUCCUAGAAUCUAUCAGAAUAUUCUAGAACCUUCUAAGAGAAUCUUUAGGGAAUAUUCUAAGAAUCUUCUAGAACCUUCUAAAGGAAUCUUUAGAGAAUCUUUAGAGAAUAUUCUAGAAGAAUAUUCAAAGAAUCUUCUAAUGUAUGUCCAUGACAUCACCUCCUCUUCUAGCUUCGAGGUCUCCGAGAAGCAAUGUUGUUAUCAGUCAAUACCAACGCAAGAAAAUGAAAAUCUGUCGCAUCACAUCCGCUAUGAAUUCCAAUUGUUGUUCGCGAGGCAAAUGAUUCAUCGGCCCUUGGAGCCAACGGUAGUGACCAACACCUUCAACCUCUGACCAAGCGUGGACUUCUGUGUCUUCAUUGUGAAACUGUCCUCCAAACACACCUUCUGGCUGACCGUCGUAGGCAGGCUCGACCUCAACUACAAUUACUAGCGAUCUGUUGCUCGGUAUCCUCCGACGUCGUCGUGGUACAAGCGGUUCUUCAUCUCGCGGUCGUCUUCGUGAGCUAGUCGCUUGAGAUGACAUAACAAGUGUAGUAUCUUGACUAUCCAUGUCCAAAGGCUAAAAUGAUGAGAGCAAACUAUAGUUGCUAACAAAGUUCUACACUAUCGAACUAUGGGUUUUGGAGGUGCCCUCCCCCCUUUUUAUGCUACUUGAUGAGCAAGCUUCAGCAAGAAGCUAUCGUUGAAUCGGCUUAGGUUUAUGAGGAUAUCGUUGAUGAAAUUCUUGUACCUUUUUUGGCGCAUUGGCAAGAUUUUCGGCACGCUCCCACGUUCGUUCAUUGAUGUCGUAUCCACUCCAAUGCACUAAAUACUCCAAUUUUCUCCUAUUACACCGUGAAUCUAGUACCUUUUCCACCUCGUAUUCCUCAUGAUUUUCAAUUUCGAUACUUGGUCGCAGACUUUGUACUCUUUGGGAAAAAGCUGACUCUCGAUAAGGUUCCAACAAAGACACGUGAAAGACUGGAUGUACCUUCAUAGUAGCUGGUAACUCCAGACGAUAUGCCACCGGAUUGAUCUGCUUCUCGAUAACAAAUGGCCCUAAUCUCCGAUAGUCCAAUUUGUCACAUGGCCGCUUGGUCUUGAUAUUUCGUCGAAGAAGCCAUACUUUACUUCCAACUUUAAAAGUAGGCGCCUCAUUUCGAUAUUUAUCUGCAGAUGCCUUGUAACUCUCUUGGGCAGAUUGUAAUUGAAGCUUCAACGUCGCUUGAAGCUCCGAUAGUUGCUUCACAAAUCCUUCAGCUGCUGGGUUGUUAUUUGCUGAAGAACUCAAUAAAUCGAGCUUGGGGUGGUAUCCGUAGUUGGAGAAGAAUGGUGUUUGUUGAGUUGACGCAUGAAGAGUGUUGUUGUAUGCGAACUCAGCAAGCGGUAGAUAUGCAGUCCAAUCAUCUUGUUGAUAGUUGAUGCUGCAUCGUAAAUAUUGCUCCAAAACUUGAUUCAACCGCUCCGUUUGACCGUCAGUUUGAGGAUGAAAAGCCGAAGAGAGCUUAAUAUCCACCUUCAAUAUCUCAAAGAGGGACCUCCAAAACUUGGAUACAAACUGAGUACCUCGAUCCGACACGAUAUCAUCUGGUAGGCCAUGAUAACGAUAUAUGUUAUCAAGAAAGAGUCUUGCGGUGUCUUCACUUGACGAUGUUUUCUUGCAAGGCACGAAAUGCGCCAUCUUUGUAAAUCGAUCCACCACAACAAAGAUGCUGUCAAAUGAAUUCGAUGGCGGUAGGUCCGUAAUGAAGUCCAUAGAAACUGAAGACCAUGGUCGGUGCGGAAUAGGCAAUGGCUGGAGAAGUCCAUACGAACGAUGUCGAGGGAUCUUGGAUCUUGAACAAACAUCACAAGAAAGGACAAAUUCCUUCACAUCCUUCCACAUUUCGGGCCACCAAAAAUCUCGUGAAAUGAGCUUCAAAGUCUUGUUGAAUCCAAAAUGUCCCGCAGCUGGAAAGUCGUGGCGAGAUUGAAGUACUCGGAGUCGAGUUGGUCCUUUUGGGAUAUACAAUCGCUCCUCAAAAUACAGAAGAUCUCCCUCCACCUUAAACUUGUCAUUAUCGACACGUAGUUUGAUGUCAGGAGCUAUAGAAUCCUCAAUGGUCGCAGUACGUACCUCGCUGAGGAAGCCAUCAUCGAUAGUUGCAACAGUAGCAAAAAUCCUAAAUUUUUUUGGUUUCAACAAUGUUGUACAUUGUUGAUCAAACGCUGCUUCUCCAGCCUUUGGCGCAAGAUACGAUCUCCUCGAUAAUGCGUCAGAUAAUCCUUGCUGUUUUCUAGGGCGGUAGGUGAUAAUAAAGUUGAAUCGUGAUAGAGACAUAUUCCAUCGAGCUUGACGACGAUUCAAAAUUCGAGCUGUCAUGAAGUACUCCAAAUUCUUGUGGUCCGUAUAAACAGUCACUGGAUGUGCAGCUCCUUCGAGGAAGUGACGCCACUCUUGGAAGGCAUCCACUAUAGCAAGCAGCUCUUUGUCGUGGAUCUCGUAGUUGAUCUCAGCAGCAGAGAACUUUCGUGAAUAGAACGCAACUAGGUGAAGCUUCUUGUCUAUGCCCAUCUGUGAAAGCACAGCUCCCAAAGCAAAAUCUGAAGCAUCAGUCUCUAAAUAGAAAGCCUUUGCAAAGUCAGGGUGUACCAAGAUUGGAGCCGUAGUGAAUGCCGUCUUGAGAUCUUGAAAUGCUUUUGCUGCUUGUGAUCCCCAUUCGAGCUUGUCUUUGCUUGUUAGACGCGUGAGUGGUGCAGCAACUUGAGAAUAAUUCUUGAUGAAGAUCCGAUAGAAGUUAGCAAAUCCAAGAAAACACUGAACAUCUCUAACCGUCUUCGGAACUUCCCAAGAUAUAAUUGCUUCUACCUUUUUUGGAUCCAUCUUCAAGCCCUCUGUAGUCGCAAUGAAGCCCAAAAAUUCCAUCUCAUUCUGGUGAAAUUGACACUUCUCCAACUUGGCGUAGAGUCCUCGUUCGCGUAGUUUUUCAAGAACCAAACAAACAUGCUUCUCAUGUUCUUCUUCAUUCUUGGAAAAUAUCAAAAUAUCAUCCAGAUAGAUGACAACAAAGUCAUCGAGGUACUCCCGAAAGAUGUCCUUCAUCAUAUGUUGAAAGACCGUUGGAGCAUUGGUAAGACCAAAAGGCAUGACAUUGUACUCAAAAUGGCCAUACCUUGUACGAAAGGCUGUCUUCCAUUCAUCUCCUUCUUUGAUUUGCACAAGGUUGUAGGCUCCUCUUAAAUCAAUCUUUGUAAAAAUCCUUGCACGUCCAAGUUGAUCUAAGAGGCCGGAGAUCAAAAGUAAGGGAUAGCGAUUUUUCUUGGUCACCUUGUUGAGUCCUCGGUAGUCCACGCACAUCCGCAGUGAGCCAUCCUUUUUCUUCACGAAUAGGAUUGGUGCUCCAGCUGGCGACUUUGAAUGUCGAAUAAAAUCCUUGGCUAGAUUCUCAUCGAUGUACUUCCGCAAUUCUGCCAACUCCGUCUGCGAUAGGUUGUAUAUUGGACCAAAAGGUGGUUGCGCUCCUUCCUCUAAGUCUAUGGCGCAAUCAUAUAGUCGAUGUUCCGGCAGUAUAUCGGCAUUCUUCUUCUGAAACACGUCUUCAAAAUCCCUAUAUUGCUCUGGUAUAUUCGAUGUUGAGAUAUUCUCGCCGCUAAUUGGAGCUGCAUAAAUGACAAAUGGUGCGCCUUCCUUGGACGAUCUUAGGAACGCUCUCGCUCCAAUAAACAUGGAUUUCUUCAUGUAGGUUCUACCAACAGGUUUAUUAUUAUUUUUUUCAGGAAAUGUUAUCUUUCGUAGCCUCCAAUCAAUGGACGGAUUAUGAUCUUCUAACCAAGAAAGACCAAGGAUAACAGGGCUUGAUGGGAUCUAAUAAUAUUAAAAACAACGUGACUACUAUGGUCCUUAAACACCACUUCUAUAGGUUCUGAUUCGUGGGUAACGUUGCCUGACAAUAAGGGUCGUCCAUCUAUCACCUCUACGUGAACAGGUUUGGAUUUCUGUACUAAACGGAUCUUGUGGCGUUUAGCAAAC